Molecule: long non-coding RNA, 84108 nt
Filed under: Jatropha curcas
Lineage: Eukaryota; Viridiplantae; Streptophyta; Magnoliopsida; Malpighiales; Euphorbiaceae
Description: long non-coding RNA (JCUR_LNC002580)
Source: RNAcentral
UUUGUCACACUCCAAUAAGAUAGGAUCUAACCCUAAAGAUUUUAUUCCAUUUAAUUACAUUGCUUAUUAUUGUUGCUAAUGGCAAGAUUUUGCUAUCAGGUAUGGAGAGCAUCUUUGGCUGAGCUUCUUGGCACCGCAGCUCUUGUCUUUGCAAUGGACACUAUAGUAAUUUCCACCUAUGAAACUGAAACAAAAACACCAAACCUCAUUAUGUCAGCCCUAAUUGCCAUUACUGUCACAAUCCUCCUCAUUGCCACGUCCCCCAUCUCCCAUGGCCAUAUCAAUCCAGUUAUCACCUUCGCAGCAUUGUUUACGGGCCGGGUUUCUCUUUCACGGGCCGCAGUAUACAUCUUGGCCCAAUGUCUAGGAGCCAUUUUAGGUGCGUUAGCACUAAAAGCUGUACUAAACAGCACUGUGGAGGAAACAUUUUCACUUGGAGGUUGCACACUCAGUAUUGUUGCACCAGGCCCACAUGGGCCCAUUUUGAUUGGGCUCGAGACAGACCGAGCUCUUUGGUUGGAAAUAAUUUGUACGUUUUUUUUCUUAUUUUCUUCGAUCUGGUUGGCAUUUGACAAACGCCAAUCCACCCCCUUGGGCCGGGUUAUUGUUUGUUGUAUAAUUGGGCUGGUAGUGGGCCUUCUCGUGUUCAUAUCGACGACAGUGACAGCUCAGAAAGGGUAUGCUGGGGUUGGGAUGAACCCAGCAAGGUGUCUAGGCCCAGCACUUAUUAGAGGUGGUCAUCUAUGGAGUGGGCAUUGGGUAUUUUGGGUUGGGCCUAUUAUUUCUUGUAUAGCAUUUGGGGUUUACGUCAAGAUAAUUCCAGUUGCCAAUGCCUGACGUAUAAAAAUGGCGUCAGGAAGUAGCAUAGUAUCCUUAUGCAUGAGGUUGUAAAAAAAAUAAUGUUCAAUUAGGCUUUGUUUAUGGUCUUAAAAUUGUUGGAAUUUCCAUCAAAUGUACUAAUUUAUAUCCUUAAUUGUGUUCAUAGUGAAAAUUUUAUAAUGUCAUAAUAUUGGAAAAUUUUCUUCUGCAAUAUUGUAGCAUAUGUAGUUGGUCAUAUGAUGAGAAUGGGGGGUUUAAUUUCUAGAGAUUUGAUCUUUGAUUUUAAAAGUAAACUUAAUAAUUAAUAAGGUGUUGGUUGAAAUGAUAAAUGAUCUUAAUCUCCAUAAGACUGAGACUAUAAGUUCUAUCUAUGCUUUUUGGAAAGAUAAAAAAUCUUUAGACACUGCGGUUAGAAGGAGAUUUCACACGAAAACAAGAAAAAAAAAGGACAAUAUAAAUUAAAAUACAAACAAAAGAGAUUUUUUUUUUUUCAUCUACGUAGAGGUGUAAAUAUUUUUCGGCAUAUUUAUAUACUUCCAAUCAAAACUUUCCAAGGAAAUUACGUGAGACAAUGAUUAUUAUAUCUUAGGAUUCAUAAACUUGCAUGUUCUCUUCUGUUUAGGAUUUCACAUCUGUUUUCCUUUUUUUAAUUAAAUUUUACGGAAGAAUUUAAAAUGAAUCAAACAUGUAAAGAUAGCCCUUUCCUAUUUUAUAUAUUACCAUCUAACCUUGUACUUUAUUGCUCACUUUAAUUUGGUAGAUGGAAUAGUUAAUUUCACAUGCUUUUUUAGCAAAAUUAGUUAUUUUAGAAGCUGCUAACUGUUUUAGUUGCGGUGAGUUGUUAACGUUUAAAGGAGUAAUCUUUCAUAAUUUGCUCUCUCAAGUUUUAAAUACUCAGUAUAAAAUCUAUGCCACCGACCACUGUUGAUAAUAGAAAUAAUGUUUUGACUAAAUAUUGUAUGAAAAAGUUGUUGUUUAACAGUGCCUGAGAAUUAAAAGCCUGACAGUUAAUUUUGGAUAGGGUUAGGUCCAGGCGUCCAUACAGUGAAUGCUACAAGUUAAUUUUUUGGAGAGAAGAUAAUGACCACCUAAUAAAUACUACAAAUGUGGACAAGCAGUAGCUCCAGAUGGGUCUUGACUUAUUUAUGAUUUUGUGUAAAUUUAAAUUUUGUCUAGAGUGCCUUCAAUCUUAUUAGCUGUAAGAUAAUUUUGUUUAGUCAAUAACUAGAGAGAAUAUGUGCUUUUAGCAUAUGAAUAUACUUCACAUUGCAUUAAUUUCUACAAUUGACACUAAAUUUCUUUACUACUAAUUUCCCAAACCUAUGGACUUUUCUUCUUGGAAGCAAUCCUCAAAUGUUUAUAAUCCUAAUCUUCUGUUCAGAUUUUAUAUCUUGAUUGUGUGCUCUUUAUUUCUUCAAUUUUCUUGCAAUAAUAGAAUUUGUUAAAGGCCAUGGAAUUGGCCAGCGCCCAAGAAGAUAAUAAUCAACAAUUCUCCAUAUCACAUGUAAAUUUCGAAGCAAUGAAUAGCUUCAAAGAGACUAUAAGAACCACAAAGACAGGGUUUCUUUUUCGCAUUGGUGCCCAUGAAUUGUUUUCACAAGAGGUAAUGAUAUAUGAGCUUCAAACUUCUUCCAAUUAUUGCUUGUUUAUACAUACAUAAAUGGCUGCCCGACUCAUAUAGUUCAGUUCUUGUUUUUAAGAAACUGGAAUUGAAAUCAUUUAAAUAAAAAAAAAAAACCAAAAUUCUGGUGUUUAUGUACUUAUAUUAUAUUAUGUUAAUUAUUUCCAGAUGUGGAGGGCAGCACUAACUGAGCUAGUAGCAACAGCUUGUCUUCUCUUCACAUUAACAAUUUCCAUAAUUUCAUGCUUGGACUCACACGAGGCAGACCCCAAACUUCUAAUCCCAUUUACCAUUUUCAUAAUUGCCUUCUUCCUCCUCUUAACAACAAUCCCCUUAUCAGGAGGUCACAUGAGCCCGAUCUUCACCUUCAUCGCAGCCCUAAAAGGACUCACAACUCUUGUCCGAGCCUUGUUCUAUAUAUUAGCACAAUGUAUAGGCUCUGUAAUGGCAUAUAUGUUAAUAAAGAGUGUAAUGGACCACAGAAUAGCAGAAAAGUACUAUUUAGGUGGCUGCAUAAUCGAUGGAAAUGGGAAAGGGAUAGCACAAACAACUGCUCUGGUGUUGGAAUUUUGUUGCACUUUUGUGGUAUUAUUUGUGGGUGUAACGGUAGGAUUUGAUACAAGAAGGUUUAAGGAAUUAGGGUUAGUUAUGGUGUGUGUUAUAUUGGCAGCUUCAAUGGGACUUGCAGUUUUUGUGUCAAUUAGUGUAACUGGAAGGGCUGGUUAUGGUGGAGUUGGGUUGAACCCUGCUAGAUGUUUAGGACCAGCUUUGUUGCAUGGAGGUUCUUUGUGGGAUGGGCAUUGGGUUUUCUGGGUCGGUCCAUUUUUGGCUUGUAUUUUUUACCAUGCCUUUUCCUUUACCUUACCAAGACAAGAAAUGGAAAGUGUAGAUGAGAAUUAAGAAAGGAUUUAUUGGGUAUAGUAUAAUGAAGUUAAUAAAUUUUAACUAACUCUUCAUUGGUUAAUAUUUAUAAUUAUAAUUUCCAAAGGAAUUGGAGUUAAUGAGAAAUAUAUUUCUAUUAACAAAAAAAAAUUAAAUCAUUUGUUUUAAGAGCAUGACUUGUCUAGAUCCGAUCUACAGCCUUACCUAUGAACCAAAACGAAAAAUAUAAAUUUUUUACAAAAGGGAAUGAUUUAAAAAAAAAAAAUCAUUGUCUUAAAAAUGAUUCUCUUUUUAAAGAAGAAAAAUAUUAUCCCAACUAUAAUAAAAUAAAUAAAUGAUAUGAAAUUUAUUUGGAGUUGUGAGGAUGCCAAAUAAAAUAAUAAUUAAUGUAAGAUUUAUAGGACGAUGACCAAUGAGAAUUAUGAUAUUGUUUAUGUACUUAAAAUGACAAUUCAAUUCGUACAGUAGUUUCAAUCUUAAUGUUUUUGCUGAUCAAGAAAUGGUGCUUUUUGGUUUUAAUGAAAACAAGAAUGAAGGUGGAUUAUACCCAAUUUAAAAUUCAUUUAGGUUUCAAUUGUCACUUUAGGUUGUUCUAGAGUUCAGCCAAUUGCCUCUUCACCAAUGCAAGUGCCAAAACUUAUUAUUAUUAUUAUUAUUAUUAUUAUUAUUUUGGUGAGUAGAAUGUAAAGUAUAAAACAAGAAGGAGAUGGAAUUGAAUAUGCUUUUUUGAACUUAUUUAUACAAUUUUGCAGGUCAGGUUUAUCGGAAAGCAAGCAAGGGAGGAAGCAAAAUUACACUACUUUGAGAAAGAUAUUGGGCUUUGAAGAGUUUUUUUCAUUAAAGGUUAGUAUGAUUUUGUAGAGUAGAGUUUGUAAAACUAACUUUAGAAUUAUAUGAGGGUGAUGAUAUUAAUGUUAUGGAAAUGAAAAUAAUGAUAUUUUCGAUAAUAAGUUUUGGUGUUGGACAAAAACAUUAGUUCACAUUUCUACUUAAAAAAAAUUGUGGUAGUUUAAACUUCGUGGAGAUCUACCGUAUUCAUAAAGUUAUGAAUUAUUUGUUAUAUUAUACACAUCUUCACGUUAAUAAUAAUAAUUUUUUAAUAUUUUUAUUUUUAAUGCAAAAUAUUAGUUUGAUAUACAGUUAGUAUAACUUUUGAAAUAAUAAUUUUUAUAUUUUUCAAUUAUCUAAUAAAUAUUUGAUUGAGCUAAUUUUAUAAGGUAUAAAUUUAUAGAAAAAAUUUUAAAUUAAAGUGUUCAAAAGAUGCGGUUUAUUAGUUAAAGUAUUUUUUUAAAAACCUUUUAGAAUGUUUUUAUUAAUACUUGCACGAAGAAUUUAGACCCGUGUCCAUUUUUACAAUCAACAAAAAAUUAAAUUGAUGACCUAAGCCAUUUUUACAUACCACUUAUUAGUUAAAAUAUUUAAUGAAUCGAAGUAUACGUUUUUUUUUUUUAUAUAUAUAUAAUAUACAAAAUGUGAAUCUAUGUAUUUAUUGUUGUCCUCAUCCUUAUCAUUAGAUCAUCAUUAUCUCCAAGGAUACAUUUUUAUAUUGGCUUAACGUAUAAAUUUGAUUUAUAUUUUCAGCAAUUAUCCUUCUUAUCCGAACCUUGUGAGGAUCCAUCAUUAUUGUAUUUUUCACAUGUUGUUGGUAGAAACAGAGAUAAGUAGAUAUUAUUGUAAUAAAUAAUCCUCAUCUUUGGAAUCAAUUAUUAGAAUUUAUAAUAUUUGGGCCAAUUAUAUAAAUUCACUCCUAAUUUUUUGUUAAUUUGAUUUUGCGCAUUCUCAAUUUUAAGGGAGACCUAUUGUGUUCUUAAAAUUACCAAUUUUGAUAAAUAUUGCAUAUAUUUUCGCAUUAAAAACAAUAGCUUUUAGAGUUUUUCAAUUUUAUUUAUAAAAUAUUGAUUUGAUGUGUCAUUAAUAUAAAUUUUGGAACAAUAUUUUCACUUUUUUCAAUUAUUUAAUAUGUGUUUAGUUGAUAUAAUUUCGUAAGUUAUUGUAUUUAAUUUUAUAAGUUAUAUUAUUUAAAGGAUCAAAAUAAAAAUUGAAUAUACCACAUAUUAAAAAAACUGGAUAAAUUUAUAUAUUCAACAUUAUCUUUAUAAAUGAAUUUUUAUGUUUAGAUCAACUAUCUAAACAUGUUAUCUUGAAAAUUUUUUUGAUCAACAACAAAAAGACCUUGGCAAAUGUGCAACCAGGCAACCAGAUCAGAAUUAGGAUGCUUAUUCCCGUUUGAACCAUUCAAACUAUCACAAACAAGAACGGGGAAAUGAAGUCCAAUCCAAGAAAUUGGCACACAAUUUUCUAUUCUUAGAUUUGAUAAUUUCAAAGUUGCUCAACUUAAUAAUAUCAAGGACCGACAAAGCAUCUCCAAUUUUAUCUGAAAAAAUCGUUUUAUUUUUUCUUAGCCAUAGCAACUAAAAGGCGUGAUGAAGAAGCCGAUGGGUUAUCCCACAUCGGUUGUGGAAGGGACUGGUGAUCAAAUUAUAAGUGUGAGGGAAAGCCUCGCCUCUUGAGCUAGCUUUUGGGGUUGAGAAGGCCCAAAAUCACCUAUCUUUGAUAUCAGAGCCCAGGUUACAGCAAUCUCAGCCCAGUUUCCGGGAGAGUACGGGUUGUUGCUCCUCCGACCCAUGGCCCGAUGUGUGAGGGGAAGAUUGUUGGGUUAUCCCACAUCGGUUGUAGAAGGGGUUGGUGAUCAAAUUAUAAGUGUGGUGAAAAGCCUCACCUCUUGAACUAACUUUAAAAUUAAUUGGAUUUAAUAGUUUGUACUUCUCUUAAAUUUAGAGUUUAUUUGCAAAUUCUAUUAAUUCUAAAAUUUAAAAUAAUUAAUUCCAUUGAAUUAAAAAAAAUAAAAUUCCUUUCUACCAAAAAAAAAAAAAUCCAAAUGAUUUAUGUAAAUGACUUAUAUAAAAUUUUAUUAAAUUUAUUUAUAUCAAAUAAGCUUUCAAAACUAUAUAAAAUUUUAUGAAAUUUAUUUAUAUCAAAUAAGCUUUCAAAACUAAAAAUUUACCAACUUAAUAAUACUAAACCAAAUUUUAUUAUUUAGAAAUGAAUUUUAUACUUUAUAUUCAUUUAUAUCAAAUAAGGAAUUAAAUAGCAAAAUAAUGCCCUUUUAAAAUGUAAUUACAAAUCUAAUUACGAGAACAUGUACGCUGAAGAAGUCAUUUUUUAAUACAAGUAAAACCACCAAUCUAACUGGGGAUUUCAGUGUAGCAAGGAGCAACGCCAUUGCAGUGCCAUAUUGCACUGAAACUGCUAAUCAAACUGACAGUUUCAAAUGCCUUAAUUUAUGGCAUUGUGGCAAUAUUAAAAAAAAAAAAUUGUAUUGAGUCUUGCAGGUUUUAUAACACAACACAAUAUAUUAAAAAAAAUUGCACUAACUUGAUGGUAAAAUGGAAUGACAUGGAUCCCUUUUUUCUUAAUUAGAGAUCUCGAAUUUGAUUUCUGAAUAUGUAUUCUCCUUAAACACUGGGAGAUAACGUUUUGUCUUCUUUAUAGACUUGUCUAGUGCGAAACUGGAUUAUUCGGGUCAAUGAUAGUGUAAAACAUUUCGAUAUCAGUACAAAGAAAUUGCCCAGCAAAUUAAAAAAAAAAAAAUUUGUAAAAUAUUAUUCAGUUUGAAGCCAUAACACCUGAACUCGUUAGGUCCACUUGCGGCUUCAAGGUCCCUACAUGCCUUAAACUAGCAUUAGUUGUGAACUUAUUUGUCAAUGAAACUGCUAUUUCUACGGCGGUUUGAAUACAUUGCAUAUUAUUCUUGCAAAUCUUUUCAAAGUAUCAUUAGAUUGGAAAUUUAUUUUUUAAGUUGCAAUCCUUUUUUUUUUUUUUUUUUUUGGGUUCAGAAGUAUCUAUACAAAAGGGGUCAGAAUCAUUUUCUAUUACCCUUUCAUUUUUAGUUUUCAGUCUAAAACCACAAAAUGCUAUAACUUGUUCAGGUUUGGAGGGCAUCUCUGGCAGAGAUUCUUGGUUCGGCAGUUCUUGUUUUUUCAAGGUGAUUGCUUUUUCUACUUCUUAACGGUGAUUUUCAAUUUAAAUUGAAAGGGGGAAGUUGGUUAAUUAAUUAUGAUAAUAGGAAAAUUGAGAAAUUCUAAUAAAUGGGUUUCUGAUAUAGUGAAGAAUUUUGUUUACUGUGCUAACUUUUUUAGUGUAUAGAAUAAGAAAGAAGCUAAUUUAGGUAUAAUUUGAAGUUUCAAUUCAAAUGCUUAAGAAUUUAGUCUAAGAGGUAAGGAUUUAUGAUUCUUCAAGAGAUAUGUGUAAAUGGAUAUUAUGAGUUUAGUGUUGGGACUCCAUUAUAAUUGGAGAUAUAUGAAUGUAUUUCAAACGUGAAUAAUUGCCUUGUCAUUGAUGAUUUGUAUUAGAGUUGAUUACUUAAAUUGCUUAGCUAUAUAAGUAGUUAGCUUAGGUGUCCUCUACAUGGAUUCAACUAUAAAUAUUGGAAAAAUGGGUAAUACAAGAUUAAUGAAAAUAAAAGUUACAUCUCUUCUCACAUCAGAUAAUUAGAAUUCGUUGAUCCCUCUUCCCCUGUCUGGGAAAUGAAGGAUAAAAUGCAUAAUUAAAGGUUUAUGUCUGAUCCGAGUACUAUAGGGCUUACAUAGGUGACAAUUCUGACCAUAAUAUUUUCCAUACCCAAAUCUCGAACCAAAAACCUUUGACGAAAAAGAAAAAAGUAUUGUACACUCUAUUCCAACUAACAUUGGUCCAAUUCUACUUAUUAAUUGUUACUUUCCAACAAGCAAUUUCUAUCAUUAGUGGGAUUCAAUUUAUAUUGUGUUGUGAUUAUUUGAUAAUCAGACUUUUAUGAAUGAACUAGUCUUUUUUAUGACGUGCUUUACACGUUGACUAUGCUCAUUAUAUAUUUAUAUUCUUUUAUCUAUAUAAUAUUAAAGCAUAAAUUUUGUUUAGAUUAAAAUAAACACAAUUGCUUAAUUUGUAUUGGACUAUGUCAUACAAGUUACUUGUAAUGUUACUUUUUAUGUACUUAAUUCUAUUUUUUUUAUAAUAUAGUGGUCUCAAAAUAAAAUUCAACUCAAUCAUUAAACAUAAUCCUUCAGUUCCUAAUUUAUAAAUGCAAAUUAUUCAUCCUUUUAUAAGUGCCCAAAAAGAAAAUAUAGUCAUCACUCAAUUUCUAACAUUCUACUCUCAACCCCAAAUCAACAUAUAACAAGUAACAAAUUAUAUUGAAAAAAUUAUCAAUUUAAAUUUCAAAAAUCAAUCCAUUUUUUAGUUAAAAAUGUUGCAAUUUUAUGAAAUUUAAUGUUGAUAGACAAAAAAGGGAUUAUAGCCAAAUCAAUAAAUGAAAAUUGCAAAGUAAUGUUGGAUCUAAUUUUGUUUCUCUAUUUUUCUAAGUUGUAAAUUUAAAAUAAAUAAAUAAAAAGUUAAUUAAUUAAUACCAAAAAUAUUACAUAAAAGAAACAUUAUAUUCUCGCCAAGUAAACCAUCAAUUUUUCUAACAACCAUACAGAAAAGGAAAAGUAUACUUUUUUCUUUUUUAUUAUCAUAUAUAUUUAUUUAAAAAAUAAUUUUUAGAAAUUAUAUGCAAUCAAAUAAUAAAAAUGUAAUGUCUUUUUUUUUUGUUUUAACCACAAGUAUCUCGAGCUACUAAGUUAGAACUAAAUCUUCCUCGCACCGCAUUGGCCGAUGUUCCCAGUGAAUAUUUCCUCCAUUUAUGAGGAUCGAACCCUCGACCUCAUUUAAGAGAAAAGAGUGUUGAACCACUCAUCUAAACACUCGUUGGUAUAAAUGGAAUUUUAGAAUUGGCUGUGACUAAGUCUAUUUUAGGAUAUUACCAAUUUUAUUAAGGGUGAUAUCAGAAAUCUCAUUAUUUCCUCUCAUUCCCACAUUUAUAUAUAGUACUAGUGUUUUUUAUCACGUGUAUUGCAAAUUGACUAUGCUUGUUAUAUGCUCAUUCUUUAUACUCGUUUAAAUUUUUAUUUAUACAAUGUUAAAGUAUAAAUUCUUAUUUAGAUUGAGUAGUUAAAUUAUAUUACACUUUAUCUAUACAAUAAAUAGUUUUUUUUUUUUUUGUUAUAUGUCUUACACUGUAAUAUCUCAUUGAAAAAAUGAUAUAUUUAUUUAUCUCUUUAAAAUAAUAAUUUAAAUAUGAAAUGUAUUAUUGAGCAUACUGAUUCAUAUAGUUUUUAUCAUUCGAUAGUUACUUUCAUUUUUCUUAAGGAAAAAUCAAGUUGAUUUAUAAAAAUUAUCAUAUAGCUUCUAUUAUACAUUUUAUAAUAAUACCUUUUACUAUAAUCUCUUAUAGUAAAUAAAUAUACUUUAACAGUAGAAUAAGAAACCAAUCUAAUAAAUCAAAUUAAGUAUUUAUAAAGAAUAAUAAAUUUUUAUUCUUUUAGCCAAUCAAAAUCAUGAAUGCAUUUAAAAAAAUUAUUAAUAAAAUUAUAUUCUUUAAUAACAAUAUGAUUUAAAUUAAGUAAGAUAUCAAUAUAAAUAAUUAAAUUCGAGAUGUUUAAUAAUAAUAAUAAUUUUUUAUCUUAUUUUUGGCAAAUCAAAUUAGAGUGUAAUUUGUAAUUAAAGUUUUUAAAUCAAAAUCUUGAAUUAUCUAGAUAUAUUUAUUUAAAAUAAAUCAAAAAAAUAUAAAAAUUUUUAAAUGUCUCAUAUUUACAUAUAUUAUUGAAAAUAAUAAUAUUAAAGCUAAAUUAUAAAUUAUUAAAAAUUAAUAAUAAUUUAUAUAAUAAUAUAAUAAAAUAUAAUAUAAUUAGACACAAUAAGAUAAUAAUAGUAAACAUUUAAAAUUUUUUGAAAUGCUUAAUUAUCUAUAUUUAUUUAUCUAUUAAAAAAUUAAAAAAAAACAUUCAAUCGAAUUAUAAAAAUAUUAUAUAUAUUUUUAGGUUAAAAUUUCUUAAUUGGUUAAAAGUAAGGUUAUUUUAGGAUAUUUUAAAUUUACAAGAAUAAUAUCAUCAAUACUAUUAUUUUCUCCCCGUCAUUCCCACUUUUAUGUAUGGUACAGAUAGAUAGAUAUUUUUUAUGAGUCCUCCAAGAAAUUUUUUAUAAAAGAUUUUUAAAAAAAAUUAAAUAGUUUUGAUUGAAGUAAGGAGAGAAUAAUUAAUUUAUUAAUUCUCCAAAGGCCCAAGCUUAUGAAAUGAGGAAAGGUUUCCAACAAAAAUAAAGAUACAAAAAAUGUUUACAUUUUAAAUGCCUGAAUUCUAUAGAAUUUUCCAAUUGGAUAUCUAAAACUAGAAAUUUAAUUAGGAUGACGUGGCCUCACACAACCAAUCAAAAUACACAACAUAGAAAUGCUGACUUGUUUAGUGAUCAUGUGCAAAUCACGUGAUUUGUUUAAGGGAAAUUCCAUUUUACCUGAAAAACCAAUUUGCCUCUCUCUCUCUCUCUCUCCAUAUUCACCCGUUUAUCCCAAAUAAAUAUUUGACUCUAAUAUUUUAUGGGUUCAAAAAAAAAACAUUAAUAAAUUAAAAUAAAAAAUUUUAGAUACUAGAUAUAUUAGUAAUUAUCCCUAAAAAUAUUUACAUAUAACACAACCCUACCCAACGAAUGAUAUAUAAACGUCAUUACCAAUUCAAUUGACCAAAGAACUAAAGUUGAAGUUACAAAAUAGAAUUUUCUUCUAAUUUAUUAGGACUACUUAUUUUUUAACUUUUUAUUUAGGAUAAAAAAAACUUUCUACACCUAAUGCAUUUAAAAAUAUUAUUUAACCCAUUGAGUGAAUUGAUUUUUAUAAAUAUUUCGGGAUAAGCCAACAUCAAAACCCAACCAUUUAGAAAAAAUUCUAAUUAAUAAAAAAAGAAAAAUUUUACCCACAUCGGAUCUAGAGCGCCACUCAUAGACCAAAACAAUGAGAAUAAAAUUUCUUUUUAAAAUGAUGAUAUUUCUGAUUAUACAUUGAAAAAAUAAAGUCAAAAGCUUUUUAAAGAAUCCUUACUGUUAUUGGUUCAAUCCAUAGCCUAGGCAAGUAAUUUUCAUUAAUAAUAAUAAAAAAGCCUACAUAUCAUCCAAAUCCGACAUCUUAUUUCAAAUUUCUCAAUGCAACAACAAAAAUUAAGAAAGUUUUGAUUAAUUAAUUACCAUUGCAUGAGCCAUAAAAUUAGUACAUUAGCAUAAAAGAAAUAACAUAAAAGUAGAAGAAGAUUAUCAUUGACAAGGAUUAAUUGCAGAUAACACAACCAUGCAUAUACCUUUUCACCUUAAUUAUCCUAAUUAACAAAUAAUUAUUCCCCUUUUUUCUUAUGUGUCUGUAUAUAUAUAUAUAUAUAUAUAUAUAACUAGGAAGCAGGCUGCAGAAGUGUAGAGGAGGAGGCAAGAGGCUCAUGCACAACAGAAUUUGAAGAAACAGAGAUGGGAUUGCCCUCUAAUUGCAACAUUACAAUUCCAAGGAUUUCGGUCAAUAUCUUCUUGAUCUCAUCUUCUUUAACCAGUUUCCCAUCAUCAGCAUUCAUCAUCUUUAAUGCUUCACCUACAACCUUGUCUAUCUGUAAUAUUUAAUAUAUCACUUUCAGCCCCAUCACUAACCUUGAUCAUGACAAGGACAACCAACAGCUUAAAUGAAAAUGGUAUGAACUAGAGAACUACUUCGAAACAUUAAUUUACAGUACCUCAUCAACAGAACCAAUUGGAGGUAGACCAGCUGAUGGAGCCACUAAAUCCAGUGCCACACUUAAAUACUCUUUAGCAAUCUUCCCAUUGCGAUCUUUCGGCACAUUUUCCAUAGCUGUGUUCAGAGUCUGCAUUGAAGAAUGAUUAUAAGAAGCCCAUAUUAAGUGCUCAGCAGUAUAAAUUAUUGCAACUGUUAUUUUUUUUUUUUUUAACUGACAUUUUCAAUAAAAUACUUAUUUCAACAUUUGUCCAAUCAACAAUGCCAAAUAGAUUGUAGAAAAGCAAACCUUGUCUAAUUCAAACUUGUUGCUUAAUAGUCUCUUAAUCCCACUUCCAUCAAAUAUGUUUUCACUAUGGGCAACAAUAACAGGCUGUUCUUUAAGACGCUGAGCUACACGUUCUGCUACUUUCUUGAAUUCUAUCAAGAAUGUUUCUUGAGAAAUAAGUUUAUCAUCAUAAUCUUGGCCAGUGCAAGAUUGCAAGGCUGGUUCAACAAUGUUGCUUAGUACCUGGAAAAGAAAAUUAAAUCAACUGAAAUCAAGAAAAUUUUAGCUAACCGAAAAAACAAAUAAAUAUUAUUCAAGAAUCAUAAUUACCCAAGAAUCUGAAGAUGGAGGCAUCCCUUGGUCAACUGUAAGCUUUUCCAAAGCCUUAACAAUGAAAUCUUGGAGAGAUAUUCCAUCAGGUAAUUCUAACUGUGAAAAUAUGGAUAUCAUUUCUGGUUCAUAAGCUGGUCCAUUGAUGAACACAGAAAGGUCUUCUCCAUCCAUUCGGAGAAUCACUAUUGGGUCUCUCUUUAAACCAGCAGCCAUGCCUAUUAAAAUAUCUGAUAAAACCUCUUUAAACUCAGUCUUGGUCACUUUCUCUUGCUUGCCAUGGGUGAAUUCAUUAAGAACCUACACAGCCAUAAUGGCAUAUUAACUCACUCACACAUAGAGAUGUGUGACUAAUUCAGUUCCAAGUUUCAUGGCUGCUCCUCCCAUGUACGAGAGUAGUGCACUCAGUACAUAAAUUCAUGCGAAAUUCAUCUAAAAAUAUGAAAUAUGAGUCCCACAUGAACAUGAGAGAGGAUGUACUGAAGUAAUUCCAACUAUGUGAAACUUAUGAAGCCCACAGUUUAUGAAUUAAAAAGGUAAGCUUUUAUCCCACUUAAUAAUUCUCAUACACAAGUGUAGUUGAGUUCUUCUUAUGGGCUCUAAAAGUUCAUAAGCUUGCAAUUACAGUUGACUAAAAGCCAGAACAGGAAAAGGAACACGGAAGAAUUUAAAAAUUCAAUUCCAUCUUUUAUAAAAUAUCUGAAAACUAUUAAAAAAUGUUGGCAAUGGGAGCUAUUAUUUCGUAACCCAGGCAUUCUCCAAAAAAAUCAAUCAUUUUUUACAAAUUAUUAGGAGGUAUUACAAAAUAUUGACAACCAAGGCUAUUAUUUUGUAAUCUGGCCAUUCUACGAAAAGCAGUUAUUUUUUACAAAUUAUUAAGGAAAUACUACAAAAUAUUGACAAUGGAAGCUAUUAUUUUGUAAUUCAACUACUUUAAAAAAAAAAAAAAACCACUUUUUACAAAUUUCUAAGAAGCAUUACAAAAUAUUUGCAACCAGAGUUAUUUAUUUUUUAAUUCUCCAACUUUAUAAAAAAACAAAAUAUUUACAUAAUGUUAAUAAAAAAAACUACUCCCUUCAUCCCAAUUUGUUUGCAUGGAUUCAUCCUAAUUUGUUUGUAUGGUUUGACAAAACACGUAUAUUAAGAAUUUAGUCGGUAAAAAUUAUUUUGUGUUUUUUUAUCCGUAACUCAUUGAAAAUAUUAAGAGAAAUCUUUCAUUUAAUGAAUGAUAUAAACGGUUAUCAUGGAAAAUAUAAUUAUUACAUGUAUAAAUUAAUUUUAAAACCUUACAAAUAUUUUAGAAUAUCCAAAAUAAUAACAACAAAUAAAACCAAACGGAAAAAAAAAAAUAUUAUUUUAUAAUUAUGUGACGUGACAUUACCUCACGUCAUUAUAGAAAAAUCCUUGAUUUUAAACCGACAAAUGUCGAAGUUGGUAGAGUCUACUAAAUUCAGACACGGUACCUUAACUUCUAACCUUUCCUUUCUCUUUUGGUUCUUAGAAAGGAAUAGAAACAUGUAGAAAAAUGCCUAGAAAGAUAACACUUUAAUUUGUCUUUCAGUGUCUAAUAAAGGUUACACACUAUUUUAGAGGCUAAAUUUGGGAUUAUUAAGAAAAUCACUUUAAAAAAUAUAAAAUUUUGUCUUCAGGCCGUACCAAAUAUUCAGGAAAAGUCCUCUCAAUAGCGACUCCUAUGACUUCAUUUUUUCAAUUUUAGCCAUUUUAUCCCAAAUUUAAAAUAUUAGUUAAUGUCUAUACAUGUUAAUUUUACAUGGAUAUGAUGUGACACAAAAGGAAGACCUGAUUCAUCUCGAAGGGUGAGAUGUGAUGACAACGAUCAUUUCUCCUUAAAUCAAAGAUCUCGAAUUCAAACUUUAGGUAUAGAGUCAUUUUCAACACUUCAAAAAAGAACGCUUCCCCUUUUAUGAGUCUACCCACAGAUUAAUUGAAUUGUUAAAAAUCAAAAGAAAAAAAAAAAAAAAAGAAAAAAGGAAUACCUGAUUCAAAUAUUAGCCAAGUUGAAAAUAAAUAUAUAUGACUCAAGUCAGGAUUUGGUUAAUUUAUUUUUCUCAGAAAAAUAGAGAUGGCAUGAGACUUAUCCAAAUAAUAUAUCCAUGUAGGACCAAAUACUUUUCCAAUUGCAAUCAACAAACAAGAGAGCCAAAAUUGACACUAAAACUCAUAAUUGAUGAUAUAAUACACAGACAUACAUUAAAAUUUUAAAUAGUUUUGGGGACAAAUUGAUAGAAUUUUUUAUUAACUAAUAAUAUUAGUUAUUCAAAAAUUCCUUCAAGCUCAUUGGCUAGCAGAAAGCCUUCCAUGUCAUAUAUAUCCCCAUUACAUCUACUGGGUAGCAAUCAUUAUCUCAAAAUACACACACACACACACACACACACACACACAUAUAUAUAUAUAUAUAAAGACUUAAAAAUGCACACUUUCCAUUUUCCACAACAUUCAUCACUAUAUAGAUUCUCCUAGAAGUGAUGAUAAAAAGAAAGGCAAAGAAAGGGAAAAGUCAAGCCAGAAAGGAAAAAUCCAACUGAAGAGUUUGAGUUCAAUAAGAUAAGACCGACCCAGAGUUGAAUAAUAAGAAAUGAUGAUUCCGGAGCUCGCUAGAAUUGGAAAUGUUUUACUUUUUUUUUUUUUUUCCGCUCAACGGACCCAAGAAGACAAGUGUGAUAAAAGAAAGCAGACAAGUGUGUAAUAGGUCAACUGAGAUCACAUGUCUAGAUUAAAUAAUAAGGAACCACAUAUGCCAACCAAGAUUAGGUUCAAGAUUAGGUCAAGUAUAAGCUUACUCCACUUUGUAAUUAUUAAUUAGUAGUUGGUAACACUAGAGUUACUAAAUAUUUGCGAAAGCAAACUUAAGGCAAAUUCUGUUUUUUUUUUUCUUUUUCUAAGAGAAGAAGUAGGUGUUAAUCUCUCGACCUUUAAAUUGUAAAAGUUAAUAAUAAUUUUUCCCGUAUUGACGUAAAAAGAAUAAUAAAAUAUGAACAAAAGCAUAUAGAAUCAAAAUGGCACUUAAUUUGUUUUCUUCUGACUCUCAUACAUCACUCAAUAGCUCAUCAUGGACAACAUUUUGUCACUGAAAUAUUCAAAAUAUUUUGCCAAUGGGUCAAAGAAAUUAUUUAACAUAAUAUAUAUGUUCGUGACGAUAUUGAAUUCAUUGAAGUUUGCACAAUUGUUUGAUUACAACUAAUUAAAAAAGGUUAAUUAGCAUUUCUCUAAUUUACAUUUCUAAAAAACAGAGCCUUAAAUCAAAGAUAUUGCAGAAAUAGAUAUUCUUAUAAUCUCAUUUUAUUAAUUUGAGAUUAAAGCUUAAAUUUUGGAUAACAAGGACAAAUUUAGCAAUGUCAAAACCCACCAAAAAAUGAAGGGAAAUUCAUAAAAAUAAAGGAAUGAAAUUGAAGAAGGUUUUGGAUUUAAAUAUGGAAAUUAGUAAUUAACUAACCUCAGAAUAGAUAAAAUCAGAAUCAGGAGAGGAACCUUGAGCAGGCAAGCCAAGGGCAGCACCGAUAUCAGCAACAGCAGGUUCAAGUUCCUUUACGGAUAGUUCUCCAUCUCUAUCCUUAUCCAGUUCUUGGAACUUAUGAUCAACGUAAUUGCUAAACACCUCCUCGUUCUCAACCAACUCCAUUAUACCUGAACCAUCUAGAACCUGUCCAUUUCCUCCUCCACUUUUCUUUACCUUUUCUGUCUUCUCCAUUAAUAUCUCUGCUCUUUUUUAUAUCAAUUUCUUGUUUUUCUUGUGAUUUUCCUUUUUAGUUUCUUCUGUCUGUCUCGUGAAUCAUGCACGAGGUAAAGUGAAGAAGGGUUGGCUUUGGGUUCGUCUCCCUUCGCUGCUUUCUCUGGUUCUUGGCUUUCGUUCUGUGUUUGUGCCUUUGUGGCCUUUAAAUAUGAGAGAAAAAAGGGAACUAGAAGAAGGACGAGAGAGAGAAAGUAGGCACAUCUAGGACACGUUUUACUUUAUUUUUUGAAAUUCAUCAUCUCUGCAGGGGUAUUCAUACACAGCUAAAAAUUGUUGAGACUAGGGCCAACCAAACAGUCGGCCACAAAAUAUAAAUUGAAUCGGAUCGAAGUUAGUAUAUGAAUCGAGCCAAUUGAACUAGUUGGUUCAGUCUAUUUUAUCGGUUUUCAUCAUUUCGGUUCGGUUCUACGUCCAAUCGCCGAAUAUUUGUGUAACCAAAUUGAACUGAUCAAUAAAUUUGGUUCAAACUGAACGAACCGACAACCGAACCUCUUGGGCAUAGACCGAAUCGAACCAAAAUCAAUCGGUUUCAUUUUCUAUUCGGUUUGGUUGAUAAUUUUGCUCACCCCUAGUUCAAACUGUGUGAAUCGAAUCAAAUUGAUAUAAAACUGUAAUUUUGAAAAAAAAUAAUAGUUUAAUUUGAAUUAUAAAAUUUAAAAACAAAAUUAGCAAUUUGAUUCUUUAACCUACUCAAAUAAAACAGAAUUAAACUAAAAAUAUAUAAAAAAAAUUUCCACUUGGUAUUGUAAAAAUUAAUCUAUUACUUUGAAGAGCAAUAUAGGUUUAAAGGAUUCUUUUUUUUUUUUUUUUAAAUCGGCUUAUAGGUGAAUGAGUUAUGAAAUUCAUUUUAUACAAAAUCAAUUGACUUGUGCUAUCUCCAUCACCUAUUUCAUUAAUUAGAAGUUUUUUAAUUAUUUUAUUAUUAUGCGAUGUAGUAUUCUUCUCAUUCGGAUCAAUGUGAAAAGAGAAUUUAUGGUGUAUGGAGAUUAUUUUUCAUGUCCAAAGAAACCCUUCACAUGAUUGAAAGCUAGUGCUAUUAUCCUUGCGUUGAACCCAUUUUGUGAUUUUCUAGAUUCAGGCUUUAUAUUUUCAUUUUGGGUUAUUAGAUUCGUAAUUAAUUGGGUCUAAUUAUUGAUUUAUGUAAUUAAUUAAUUAAUUAAAAUAUUGAUUGAUUAAUUAAUUAAUUAAAAAGAGGAGAUAAAGAAGACGUAAUCUGCAGUUGAGCACGUACAGGAAGGUGGGAUACCAAAGAAACUAAUGUGAACGUGUGUCAAUGGAUCCUUUUGGUAAUCACCUGUGAAGCUUAUAAAAGAGCAAGGGAACCCCAAUAAAAGGACAAUCAAAUUCUACAACGAAUUCAACAAUAAAAUAAAACUCUCCAACAAGUCAAUCAAUUUAAUUUUCAAAGUAUUGUCUUUAUUUUUCCUAAGAACAGUUCAUUUACAUUUCCUAUAAUUACAAGCUUUUAUUUCAAUAGAAGCAAUCAAAAUUCUAUUUAUCUUUCAAGCGAUGAAACUCUCUUUUAUAAUUUCUCAGUCAAUUUUAUUUUAACCGCACAACUGGUGAAGCGUGUACAGUGGAACUAAGCCCACGGACUAGAAGUCGGAUCGAGCGCACUUUAUCUUUCAGUUGGUGUAUUUCUUCUGUAUUCUCUUUUUUUUCAAGAAUGGUUUGAGGUUAAUCUAAAAACUAAAAAGAGGGAUGUUGGUGAUUGUCAAUGCUACACUUUAUUUGCUAUAAUGCUUUGGUAGGCGUGAAGGGCAAGAAAUGCUCAUUAUUUUUAUGCCAAUGAAUGUGUUUGUUUUCUAAAACUAGAAAGGUUGAAGGGGCAUGACACAAUUUUUUUUUUUUCAGUAGUGGCGCCUGAUUGUAUCGGUCCUAGGUGGCAAUGGAAGUGGUGCGUGUAUUUUAAGAUAUCUGUCUCGUUUCAAUCCGUUUUAAUAGGAUAUGAAUAGUUAUAAAUGAGUUUAUGACAUGUAUAGAUAGUGAAAUUACUACCUAUAAUGGAUACUAGUAGAGUACGAGUAUAGGUUUUUGGAUACCUGCUAACCGCCAUUGAGCCUGAGAGAAGUGAGAAUAAAAAUAUCAUUUGCCCUACUGCCCAUGUUCCCAGCGUUAUUAUCACUCACAUUAGCAUUUUCUACCCCACCUCUAAGAUCUUCGUUGUUUGAAUUUCGUCUCGCAGCACAACCAACAACUUUAACCACAUCAGAACUUUCAUCAAGUUUGUCCAUAGCAAGUGGCUCAAUACUAUAUUCAUUAAAUCUUUAUCAAACUCAAUACAUAAAUUCCCUUUAAACCUUAUACUGAUUAAAUUAGCUCCAAUCUUGAAGUGAUUGUAUAUGUCUUUUACCAUCAAUUAGUAAGAUUGCGGUCAAUCACUUGAUUUAAGUUAAACUAAUAAAUUAAAAUUAUAUUUUUAAAUAUAUAAAUUAUGCCCUUCAUCCCAUGAAAUAUAUUCAUUAAUUUUUGUUCUUACAUAUUAUAGUGACAUGUCUUUUUUCAUAAGAGAAUAAUAUUUAUAAUUUCUUAUUCUAUCAAUAUGUAUUUUUAUCAACAAAUAUGUUAAUUUUACUAUUAACCACAUGUUAAAAUUGAUAAUAACUAAUUAAAAUAUUGAUCUUUCAUGUUUCAAGUUAGGAGAAAAAUUAUACUGGUUAUUAGAAAAAUAUUAAGUAAAAUUAUGAUUUAAUCAUAUUGUUCUAAUCCAUGUGAAAGUUAAAUUAAACUGUUUUUUUUUUUUUUGUUCAAACUAUUAUGUAUCUAAAGUUUAGAGAUUCGAUUUAUCCGGAUCCGUGCUGAGUAAGUCCAUGAAUGGAACAAAAUACUUUCUCUCGAAUAUUUAAAGGGAUUCUAUACACAGGACAUGAACUAAACUUAUUUUUUCCUAAUUCACCAAUUGAUAAUUCAUUUAAAAUUUAAAACAAUUUAAAGUAAUCUAAUCGGAGACAUCCUACUUAGAAAAGACAAAAAAUAACUCAAAUCAAUCUGCCCUAAUCCGAUUCGAUUGCAAAGUCUUUGACAACAUGUUCAUUUUCAAAAUUAAAAAAGAAAGAAAAAAUUUUGAAAGGAUGAAGCUAAGAGGGCAUUUGGUUUAGCUGAUUCAUGCGUUUUAGGUGUUUAAUAAGUUUUUUAAUCAACAGCAGCUCGUAGCUCAUAAAAGUUUAGCUAUAGUUCAAUCAGCUAGCUAUUGAUUCGAUCAGCUAAAUUUUGAAGUUUUUUUUUGCUCGACUGGUAACUGAUUCGUAUUUAUAUUAUUUUAAAAAUUCAUUAUCUUCUAAAAAUAACUGCUAAUAAAAUUAGUUCUUUUUAAAUUAAUAUUAUUUAUAGUUAUUUAAAAAUAAUUUUUUCUUAACUAUUAUUAUUUUAAAAUUUAAUUAAUAUUUUUUUUAUAUAAUACAUUAAAAUAAAAAAAUAAUAGAUCCAUCUUAAAUUAACAUAUAUAUAUAUAUAUAUAUAUAUAUAUAUACAUAAAACAAUAUAUAACAUAUAAAAAUAAUUAUGCUACUGAUGAUUUUUUGUACAGCAAUCUCUAUUAAAAUUUUACCAGUAAUCAACUAACUUCUAUAAACCAUCAGCCACUAGUUGAUAGCAAUUGCUAAAUCAAACUGCUUUAAGAGCGAAACAAUCCUUAAUAAUCCCUUCAUCCUAAAAAUAUAGUUUAUCUUUUUUUUUUUCCCCAAAAUGUAAUUUACUUUCAUUUUUUUUAUUAUAAUUAAUCUUAAAUUAUUUAUUUACCCUUAUUAAAUAACUAUCAUUAAUUCUUAUUUAUUCUUUUAAUAUAAUAAUUACUUAUAUAUUAUUUUAAAUAAAUAUAAUAAAAAAAUUAUAUGAAUAAAAUUAUCUUUUAAUUAUAAUAACUUCUUCUUCCUUUUUCUUUUUAUAGGCCUGUACGAAAAUAGAAAUUGAAUUAUUUUUUUUGACGGAAGAACUAUAAAUUAAGACCACUAAUUGUUCUGCGGAUAGGACACAUGGGGCGGCUGUUAGGUGAGGGAGCGUCCAAAAUAAAGGAGUACGUACAACAUUAACUAACAAAGAAGCUUGGACUUUUUCAGCCUAAUUUGCCCCUGCAUGUUGCAUGGCAUUUUUAGCAAUUGACUAUUUUGGCUUAUCCUUUCCUUUUUCCUUUUUCCUUUUUCCUUUUUCUGCUUUCCAAUUUUCUUUUCUUUUCCUUUCCUUUCCUUUUCGUUUAUGUUUUUGCACACGUUUUAUUCAACUAGGCUGAAUUGUGAUGAAAGAAAGGAGCAGUCUCUGUCUUUGUAGACCUCAUGGCAUCUUUGUCUAAAUUAUGGCCCUAUUAAGAUAUUAUUUUUUUUAUAUGUAAAAAAAAAAUCAAUACUCUUUUUUAAUUGCAAAUAAAAAAAAAAUCAAUACUCUUUUUUAAUUGCAAAUAAAAUUCAAAGUUCAAUUUUAUUUAUUGUUGAUUUUAAUGUCUCAAUUUUUGUUUUUCCUAAUCAAAUGUCUAAAUUGAUAAAUGUUCUAAAAUUAGAUGCAUUUAACCGAAAUUUCUUAUCAAAAUUUUUAAAUAAACUAUUUCAUCACCUCAUUUAUUUCUCUAGAUUAUCAUCUUUCUCCACUCAUUUCUGUUGAUUUUGCUUUGAAAUAAAAAUAAAAUUGUAAGGAAUUUUUUUAAAGUUUCUUAAAGAAAAUAUAAGGUAAUAAAUAAUAAAAAAUUUAAGAAAUAGAAAUAAAAUGAGUAGGUGUCAUAUAUUGAAUAAAAUUAUUUAUCAUAUUUUUUUAAUAAAAAAGGCCAAAUUGCUUAAUUGAAAAUAUAUUAUUUAUUCAAACACUUAUGGAUAAAAAAAUAAAAUUGAAGUAUAUAUUAAAAUAAAAAUUAUUAGAAAAUUUUAAUUUUAGAUACUAACUAUAUUAUUAUCUCAAAUAUAAUUAAUAAAUAUCCAUAUAAAUUCAAAGUGAAAGUUAGAAAAAUAGAUACAUAUAAACCAAUCAGCCGUGGAGGAUUUGAGGCCUUAAGAUGAGUGGUUAGAAAUAGCGACCGGAACAUGAGGGCUUUGAAGAGACACUUUGUACUUUCUUCUUUCAGAACAAGUUUUCUGACUUCGGUUUACAGAAUUUUAUUAUUAAUGGUACUUCCCAUGUAAUAAUUCACAAGUUUCAUUACUCGAUUACUACAUGAAAAUUCUAAUUAAAUUCAUAAAAUAAUAAUAAUAAUAAUAAUAAUAAUAAGCUUGAAAGUUGAUUUAUUUGAGACAGUCUCAGGUUAGCUACUAAAGAUUGGAUUAUCUAUUUACCAUUAAAUGAAAAACGGAAGAGCUUUUUCCCACGUGAUAAAGCCGAUGGGACAACCAAAUUGACUGAGCAUGAAGCUGUAACUUUCAUAAAUCUUCCACGUUAAGCCAUUUGCAAGAAAGUAAAAAGGAUGGAAAGCGCAUCACCAUCUCAUAUAUGUGGCUGCUAAUAGUCUCUAUGAAACCUUUCGAGAUAGGUUCUUCAACCCACAUCCCAAACAUUUGAGUAUCACUGUCUUUGAUGGUGGAUCUGGCUUAAUAACAAACUUAACCCCGAGAAAAUAUCUGAUAUUUCUCAGAGUUUCUAUCCCAUAUGGUGAUAGCUUUCCCACACGUAUCUGUGACACAUCUUCCGGACAUAAUGCACAAAGAAGAAAUAAUAAACCCUAUACACCAAAUAAAAAAAAGCAAUUAUUACAAGAUGGUAUAAUGGAACUUGACACACUGCACUAUAAGAAAUUCAUGAUCAAUAAAGCAUUUCGCUUAUCAUUCUUUUCUCAUCAGCAAUAUGAAUCAGUUCGCAACUUUUCUUUAUGUUGGAGUGACAGGGGUGCCAUUUGGAAGUCUAAGUGCAUUGCUAAUGUAAUCUGAUUUUCUUGUAUUUUGUUAUGAGCGAAGAACUUGCAGAAUAUGCAGUUUAGUGGGUUUAGCUCAAGGUAUGGCUUAGGUUGGGUGUAAAAGCAGUCCAAGUAUGGUCUAGUUUUGACAUAAAACUAUGGAUUACCACGGUUUGUCAAGUAAACUCUAACGUAUGUACAAGUGUUAAAAUAAUCAAUGAUAUCUGCUCAACAGAGAGGUUAAUUUUAUAAAACUUGUCUUUAAGAGGUGUGCUCUGUGAAUUGAGUUUUCUGCCUACCAUUUCUGAUUUCUCAAAACCAACGUUCAUGCAUUUCCCUCCUACAACUUUAACAUUAGUUUUAUUCAAAAAUCUGAAGAGAGAGAGAGAGAGAGAGAGAGAGAGAGCAGUAUUUGGCUUCCAGAUUAGUCCAUAUAUAAAAGAUGGUGAUCAUAGAAUCUAAUUUGUGUUAGCAAGUAAUCAGGGUUGAGCAGAAAAAGGAACUUCACUCAACAAAGUUUACCAAGCACACUAGAGCAGACAAAAAUAACAGAAAGGAAAAAAAAAAAGAAAUAGCAGACCUGGUGUGUGGAAUCUACAACUCCACCUUGCUCAAUCUCUCCGAGAAGAAGAGAAGCAACUUGCUCACCAACAUCCGCUGCGGGCAUCAACUCUUUGUCCUUAUCUUCCAUUUCAGCUAUAUCAUCUCCUCGAGCAUGAUAAACUGCUGUGUCAGCAGAUAUGAAGCAACCAGUAGUUGUUUCGGCAACCAAUGAAAUUCCAUAACCAGGUGAACUGCCAUGACAUCAUAAUCUAUGUAAAUAAAUUCUUAGCAUGAUAAAACAUUAUACAUUUUUAUAUUAAAAAAUUUUAAAAAUGAUAAGGAAAAAUUUACUAACAGAAAGCAUACUUUCCAGCCUGUGGACCCUUAGCUCUAUGAUCGGUGAAUAUAUGAACAUCACGAAGCAAAGGAUUAAGGAUUCCACGAGCAGCAUGUAACAUAUUAGUAUCAAACUGAGAUGAGACCUUAGCUGAGAAAGUGACCCCUCUAAUCCUCUUAACCAAUCCCUCAUCAAUCCAGGUGACUGCCUGUACAGCAGAACAUAUAAGAAAAAAGAAAGUAAAAUGCAAGAUGAUGAACCACCAUUGGAUUCAAAAUAUCACCGUUAGACUUUCAACAAGAGGAACAGAUAAAAGUACUUCUCCACCUCCAUGAGGUGGAACUCCACGACUCUCUAUUUUCAGCUCCAAUCCUUCUGAAGGAACGCCAAAUCUCUUCAACGUUGGUAGGGUAGUAGAUCGAAAAGUGUCAACACAUGGGUCUUUAGAAUCAUUUGUAAUUCCUGAAUACAAUAGAAUCGGUGUCACUAUCAUCACAUCAUCUUCAUUAGCUAUAGAUAUACAACUUUAAAAAAAAAAAAACUCUUGGUACUGUCAUUUACGAGUUAUGCCAAGUUUUGAAGGUUGACUUCGGUAAAAUCAGUAUCCUUUGACCAUUACUAAAGCUUUCUAAGUCAUCACAUCACUCCAAACAUUCCAUCCAUGUGUUUGUAGUUAGCAUUACUGUUUGUUAUGAAGCAUAAAAAGUGUAAAUGGCUUUUUCCUGUGAACAUCUAAAUAACCUGGGGAGAACUCCCAAAACUGAUAAUCCUCCACCUUCCACAAAAUAGGCCUCAAAGAUCUACAUGCUAGAUUGCACCUCCAUUUACAUUUGAAAUAAUUCUGAACUAAGUAACAUGAUUGGUAAUCUAACAGCAUUUAUGCAAAAUUAAUAUUUCAAAUUGUUUACAUUUAUGAAUAAUGUUAAUAUAUAAUUUGGACUGGAAAUCAACAUCCAGAAUAAUUCAUUUUGGAUACUUGACAAAAAGGGAAGAAGUUGAUUCACAUGACCAGAUCUCUGUAUUAGUAGUUUCUCUAACAAUCCACAUAAAUUGAUGCAUCAAGAUUAACAACUCUUGGAAGGUAAAAUGACGUCUGAACAUUCCAAUUAUGAAACUUCUAAUAGAAGACCAAGUGAGGAACUUUUAAAUGUGUAAAAAUGGGGGCUGGAGAAACAGUUACAUUUCAAGUGCAAGUUCUUUGUCUGGAAAAGUAAAGUACAUCUAUAUUUCUGCCCAAGCUUGUGCUAAGUGUCAAGGUAAUGUGACGAUAAAGCUCCAUUUAGUUAAGCAGUUUCUUUUUUUUCUUGUGGGGUGGAGUGAGGGUGGGCGCUAGCCUCUAAUGGUUGAGACCUCAAACCCUAAACUUAAAUGUUUGGUAAACUUCUCUUAAAAAGUAGUAUUAAUUACCAAAACAUCUUACAAUCAAUUCAACUAGCUAAUCGCUGGCCUCUAACAACCAACUGUCUAUAACUGCUAAACCAAACAAGCCAUCAGUAGCUAUGAUCUGAGGGAUUAGGCUUCUAGCUUUUGUUGCGUUCUUGUCUCCAAAACCAAGUAUCAGGUUAAGCUUCAUCAAACAAAUAAAGAUUGCCCAGUUCAACAAGUGCACCACAUGAUCAAAUAAAAACACAAUUUAUUAUUUAUAUUUUUUUCUCAUAUUUCACAAUAAAUUUUUUUAAAAAACGAAGUCUUUAUGAUUCUAAACAUUGUUAUAGUCUUAUAAAUUAAUGUUUUUAUUUUUUAACUAAUUUUCAAUAUUAUAAAGACAUAAGAGUAAGUUAUUUUCCAGAUAUAAAUGGAGCCUAAAGCUUGGGUGAUUAAACCCAAGUUAAAUUACACAGAGCACACCGCUGAAUAUGCAAUUAAAAUUAAUCCUAAGCACAUGCCGCGUACCUUUGAGCCUUAUCACAAGUGAUUUCUUGGAAAAUAGCCCAAGAACAAUUAGUGGCUCAAGGAAAUAGCCAAUUGAUCGACUUAGGCCACAAUCAUGCACAAGAUGUUUCCCACCCAUCACAAUCCCAGGCUUGUAUUUAAAUUUUGUUCCUGCAACAUAUAUUUCAAUGAAACCAAAACAAGGAAAACCAACAGUGUAAGGAGCCACAAGAAGUUGUUCACGUUGACAAACAAUAUAACCCAAGUAAAACAAAGAAAAAAAGAAAGCAAAGCUGUCAUUACUAUUUGUUGCAAUACCAAAUGACACAAAGUUUGAGUCCUAAAAAAGAAAAUGGGACUCCAGAAGUCAAUUUUAUAUUUUAUAUAUAUAUAUCUCAUCAGCAGAAAAUAGAACUCAGCAACAACCCAAACAAAUAUGGAGAAACUGCAAGGUAAACCCAGAAAACUUAAAUUAAAACAAGAAUCAGCCCAUACAUGCACUGAUGACCAGAAAACAAAACGUUGAUGCAACAAGAAACAAGCUUUAAAGGAAGAGAGAUGCCACAUAAAAUAGGGUUAGAGUUUCUUAAGAGUCUUCCACAGAAUUUCAACAACACAAAGCAAGAAAUUCGAAGUUAAGAUGUAAACAAUUAAAGCAAAGAAGACCAGAAGAAGACAUUCAGAUGUUGUUCAAAUGACCUAUAUCUCAAGGGAGACCCAUUUAAAAAAAAAAAAAAAAUCAGCAGAUGACAGAAAAAAACCUUCAGUAACUAGACACUCCUACGAAAUACUAUCAUAUUUGGAAUUAGACAUUUCUGUAAUAUGUGAAUUUUUUUUCAAUUUCAAACCGAAUAGGCUGACAAAUGCAGAAUUAACUUCUACACAGAUAAUACAUAUGAGAAGGUGAACAAUUACCGGUUUCAUUGAUUUCAAUAACACAGUCAUCGGAGAUCCUCUCGAGGAGGCGGAGGAAGGAGACCUCGUAAGGACGGAGGCCUGGCAGCGUGUCUUCUGCCCGAAUGUCCUCAAUGAGAACAGGAGUGGCGGAGAGAGUAGCUAAUAGCAGUCUCUGGCGGAGGUUUUGGCUCCCUUUUAAUCUCUUAUAACUUAUCUUCCCCAUCUUUGAUUCUAUUGUGCUGUACUAUUCUCCUGAAAAUGAUAGGAAUCGAAAUCGAGACACAAUUGUCGAAGUAGAAACUCCUGGAGUGUAACUUCUAUGGCUAGGGUUUUAGACGAAGAAGAAGAAGAAGAUGAAACUAAAACAUAAGGUAGGGUUUUAGACGAAAAGGAUGAAACUUAAAACGGCAAAGAUCAAAGUAGCGAAUAGUGACAAUUCGCGGCGGCCAUAAUGUUCAAGAAAUCAGAGGUUUUGAUCGCAAUGGGCCUAUUUCACCAAUUUUUUAACUAAAGCCCGAAACUAGUAGGCCAGCCCACAACAAAAGAAACCCAAAAUAUCAUCGGCCCAAUACGUGCUUCUUCCUAGCGUUUAGUGAAAUCAAUCACCUAAUCGAUUAAAGGUUAACAUAAUGUGUUUUUCUUUUUUCUUCUUUUUUCCUUUUUUUUUUUUUUAGAACUAGAAGGUGUAAUCGCGUAGAAUAUAAAGAUCUUUAGCUCUUUCAACAAUUUUAUUUUCUGAAGAUCAAACUUUUUUUUAUCACCUAUAUAAAAAUUGAGGGCAUUUACCACUCUAAUUAACUCCAAAAUUAAUUUGAUAACGAACUGUACAUCCCUUUAUAAAUUGAAAAUCUUAAUUAACGGCAUUAAGAAAAAAAAAAAAGUGAUAAUGCAGUAGAUUCAUACAACCCUGUGAAAUCUUAUAUAGGCUUAUAUCAUAUUUUAAUUCAAAAUCUUAAGACAAUAAGCUUACAUUUAGUGAUAUAACCUUCGAUUUAUUUUGAGUCUAUCAGCGGUAAACCUACCACCUAUUUUCUAUUUUUUACCCUCUCUUUCGCUUCACAUUCUUUAACUUUUAAUUUUCUUUUACUUUAAUAAACUCAAAUAUGCUUUUCAUAUAAUAUAUCUAUUUUUUUUUGUUUUUGUUAUUGUUGGUUUAUCUCCAUAUUUGGAUUUUUUUUUUUUUUGUCCCUAUGAGGGUAGUCCCUUCUUUGCGACGGUUUAUUACUGAAUAAAAUUAUAAUAUUAGACUUUAUUUGGUUGGACACUUUAAAUCUUGAUUUGUAAGUGUAGAUCUUCGAUCUAUAAAGCCUGGUAGUACGAUGUAUUCUUCUAUUGAUAAUAUUGACGCAUAAUAGUGGAAACUCAUAUGUGUUCAUCAUAUGUUACAAAUUUUCAGUUAUAGAAGUUCCGUAAGAGUUAUUAUUUUAAUGUCCAAAUUAAUUAAUGGACUAGUUGCCGCUACGAAAAUUUAUAUCUUUUAUUGAGAUUAACUCAAGCGGAAAAAUCUAAUAUUAUAUUUUAAUUUUAAUUUCAUUAUUUAAAAGAAUAUGAAUUCUUUUACUUCAUUAUACGAUCUGCAAACUUUAUUAACUACUAAUAGGAAAAUUUUAUUUCUGGCAUGAUUAUUUUUAAUUCUUGAUAGUAUUAUUAUUAAUAGAUUACAUUUUCAAAAAAAAAAAAAAAAGAUUACAUUUAAUAGAUAAUAAAUAAAAAUGUAAGAAAUUCAAUUCCUCUGAUCACGUUACAUUAAAUUUCAUUGUGGGUCAUCAAUGCAACAUAAAUUUGUUGAUGGUUGAUUCAUCAUUCUUCCCAUUUGAAUAUUUCAUUUAAUCCAUUCUUUUUCCAGUAUGAGAUUUUACUCGAACUUGACAUCUAACAGAAUGUUAUAUUAAUUUGUGUUACAAGAAAUAUUAGUUUUUGCACAUAAUCAAAUUUGACUUGAGAAAAAUAAAUCACAUGAAUUUCAUUUCUCUAAUGGUUUGAUGCCCUAUGAAAUAGCCUCAUUUAGUGCGUUUCAGCUGGCAAAACUCUAUACUAGGAACUAUUUUUUGUCGAGAGAAUUCUGAAUUCCCAUUAUCUAUAGACAAAGCUGAUUCAUUUGGCUUCUGAGAAUGUAAGUUAGGUUCUUUUGAUUGCCUUCCUUUUGUAACAUGUCCACUUGUAUCGCAAAUAUGAGAUUCUGUACCAUUUGCUUCCUGCUACAUAAGAAAGGAGAAAAUGGAGGAUGCGAUUUCAUAAAUUUAGGAUCUACAAUACAAACUCUUGUUCUUGGAUGCCAAAGAUAUAUAAAAAAAUGUCAAUUUUUCUUCAUCGGUAACCUUUUAACCAGCCGCCCCCCAAUUUUAUUUAGUUAUUUUUUUUUUGAAAUUUACCUUGUAAAAUAUAUAAAAUUUUACAUUUUAUCUAUAAAAUAGUGAUUUUUUUUGGGUAUUGCCCCUUCUAAAUAUAGAAAAAAAAUUUUCACUCCCUCUAAUUAUUUUUUCUAAUUCCGCCACUCUUUUUAACACAACGAAGAAAGAAAAAUACCAUGAAUGUAUAUAAUAAAACAACAUAAAAAUAAUACUAAAAAAUAACAUAUAUCUAGUUAUAAGUUUAAAGUUAAUUACAUGCCAUGAAAUUAAGUUGUCCCCUGCUCUCUCAAAUGCAGUCAAUAGUGCAACCAUAAUCCUGGCCAAAUUUGAAAUCAAAAUAAUAAAGGUUACUAUAAAUUCUUGAAAACGGUAAUCCCUCGGUACCAAAAGAAAUAUUCUACUUUUUAUUUUCACACAGAUUAAAAAAUAGCAAUUAUUAUGAUUAAAGGAUAAUUUUAUUUAUAUAAUUUUCCUAUUGUGCUAAUCUUAAAUAACACAUAAGCAAUUAUUAUAUUAGAAUAAUUAGUAAGAAUUAAUGCGGGUUAUUGAACAUAAGAUAGUAAAAUUUAAUAAGGGUGUAGUAGACAAUUUAAGGAUUAACGACAAUAUAAAAGAGCAAAGUGGACUAUAUUUUGAGAUAUACCAAAAAAGAAAUAUGGAUUAUCUUUUUGAAACAGAGGACAGAACAAUUAUUAUAGUUAAAUGACAAUUUUAUUCAUAUAACUUUCCUAUUAUGUCUAUUUUAAAUAACACAUGAACAAUCAUUAUAUUAGCAUAAUAAGUGAAAAUUAAUGAAGGUUAUUAAAACUAAGAUACUUCAUCUGUUUUCUUUAUAUAGAGAACUUUACUCAAAAUGGAAACUUUGUAAAGGAUGUCAGAUGAAAAAGACCAAGAUGCCCUCAUUUUAGCUCUGUAAUCCGCUUGCAGAUUGUGCUCUGAACGAGGAAAGUAGCAGAGAAAAAAGAAAAGACAUUUAAUGCAUUUAAAUUUUCAAUGUGUUUUUUUAACAGUGUGCUCGACUUUUGGAUGUGAACACAAACAUGAGCAAGAAUUUGUGAAAUUAUUCAAAAUAUGGACACCAAAUUGGAUGGUUGUAGUAUAAUUUUGAAAAUCCUUUUAUAUCGAUAUUACACCUUGCAAAUAUGUAUAUGAAUUUUGUUAACUCCGAAUUAUUUAAUAUAAUUUUAUAAUAUAACUAACACGGAUGGAAAUUUCAUGUUCAUAUUUUGAAUAAAUUGUACACAGUGAAAAAAAAAAUCGGUGAUAAUUGUGAAUUAGUUGUACCUUAUUUGAUUCCCUUAAGUGAAAAAUAGAUUAGUGUACCCUAUUAUGGAGAGGCAUUACUUACAAACCGUCAUCUCAAACCUCCUAAAACCUGUUCGUUUUUCAUGCGCCAGAGAACGAAUUGUCAUGCGACGUUUUAAUGGGAUUUUUGUUGCAACUCAUAAAAAAGCAUGACAUUUACAAAAUUCUUUACAUGAUCUGGUAUAUAUUUUUUUUUUUUUUUUGUUUCUUCUUUUCUCAUUGCCUACAACAACAUUUUCAGUAUGAUUCAUUUUAGGAACCAUCAUCAUGCUUUCUUCUGCUUCAGGUAAGGAGUUCAAGUAUGGCAAAUGGAAAGUUGUGUGCAUAUCAUGAGAAUGUGCGAGCAAAUUUAUUGGAGCUUCAUUGAGAUCAAAUGAAAAUGAAUUAUUCAUGAUGCAAGAAAUAUUGUUCUCCUCUUUCUAUUGACCUUAGUUUGAAAAGCUUAUGAAUGCAAUUACAUGUUCACGUUCUGAUCACAAUUCAUAUAAGAAUAUUGUAGAAGUUGAGGAGAUAGUAAGAGUAUCAAAAAUUUUGGCUCUACAUUUUUGUCAUAUUUGCGCGCAUAUAACCGAAAUUGCUCAAGACUUUAGAAAAUGAAAGAAAUUCAAAAUUUUCAACAUGGGAUUUUAAUUUGGCAAAGUUUGAAAAUGGAGAAAUUAACUGCAUUAUGUCAGAAAUUUCUCCAAUUUCAGCUUAAAUCCCCUCCAAUUUGCCUGAAAUCCUGUAAUUAAUGCGGCUUUAGAAGUCUACUCGUAUGAGUUGUCUAUCUAUUAAAUAAAGAGCCCGUUUAAUACUAUUUAGGGGUAAAAUAGACAUAAUUUGAGAAAAUAGUUAGUUUAACUACCAUCUUAAUCCUUGUGCAAAUUCAAUUAUCUCUAUAUGAAGAGAACAGAGGGAGUAAAGUUUAAUAAGGUCAUAAUAGACAAUUUAAAAAUUAAUUAUAAUGCAAAAAAAGAAAGUGGACUAUAUUUUAAAAUAAACUAAAAAGAAAAGAUGAAUCAUCUUAAUGGGACAGAAGAAGUACUAAUUAAUGGCAAAAAAAAACCUAGAUUAUUUUAAAAGAUGAUGAUUAAAAAUAAUAUUGGGAAAAGUACAAAAAGUGAAACAUCUUUAUUUUAUCAACAAAAGAGAUAUGUAUUUUACUAUAUUAACAAUUAAAGAUCUAAUGCCAAACAUCGUAUUAAAAUAAACUAUUGAUAUUAGGCAUUAAACCCUUCAUAAUUAAAAGAAUAAAAAUACAAUUUUAUUUUUGCCAAAAAAUAAUUCGCAGAUUUUAAAUGAGAAAAUGUAAACCACAAGAUAAGUUUUUAUAAUUGCUCUUAGAUUUUAUUAAUCCUAACCUUUUAAAGUUCGAGUCUAAUCAUACACAUCUAAACAUAAUUGAAAUAAAAUACUCCUUCCGUUCUCUUUAUUUAGAAAAAAUUUUCUUUUUAGGUGUAUUUUUUAGAUAAAGAAAGUUAUCUCUAAAUAGUAACUUUGGUAUGUAAGUCAAGUUAAAAAGACUAGAAAGCUUUUAGAAUGUGUUUUUUUAAGAUUGAAACUCAACAAUCAAGGAAAAUGGCAGACACAAAUAUUCUCAGCAUUUAAUGCAUGCGUGUUUUAAGGGACAAGUUAUCACCUCACUUUCUAAUUUCAUUUUAUAGUAACAUUGAUCGUUUUUAUAAAUUUGGUCACAUAAAUACAGAGUUAGCGCUUAUUUGUAUAUUUGAUGAAAUAGAUGACCCAGUAGAAAAAAUUAUGAAGGACACACUUACUGCUAUUAAUGCUGAUCUAGGAAAGGAUGCUGACAAUAAAUAGGUUAAUGUAGACUUUUAUUGGUAGUAAAUGUGCACUUUCUAAUUAUCUUUUGCUUUUUUUUAUAAGCCACUUAGUGGCCUUUUAUUUUUAAUACUUAGUGCAUUUUUUUCAAAUCCUUAUAAUGGUUGUACUCUGUUGUAAGCUACUUAGCAGCCUUUUAUUUUUAGUACUUGUACACUUUUUCAAUGGUUUUUGUUUCUCUGUGUUAGUUAAUGGUUGGGAACUUCUGUAAGCCACUUUGUGGCUUUUUAAUUGUUAGUUGAAACUUCUGUAAGUCAUUUUGUGGCCAUAUUUUUAGUACUUAUGUACGUUUUCAUUGGUUUUUGUUUCUCUAUGUUAGUUAACGAUUAUGAAAUUCUGUAAGUCACUUUGUGAUCUUUUUAAUUUAUUAGUUGUGCAUUUCUGUAAGACAUCUUGUGGCCUUAUUAUUUUUAGUUGUGCACUUUUUUAAAUUCUUAUAAUGGUUGUACUCUUUUGUAAGCCAUGAUGUGACCUUAUUAUUAUUGUGCACUUUUGAAAAUGUGAAGUUGUCACACAUUUUGUUAGGCUGUGCACUUUUUUAAAAAAUUAUGCCUUUAAACUCGCAUUAAAACUCGGAGUUUAGUACUCACUUUCAAAUUAAAACUUGUUAAGAGGUUAAAUAUAAUAGGUCAAAUAAUUUUUAGGAACACGUAAGUAUAUGAAUAUAAAUUGAUUAAAAUAAGAUAACAAGAUUACAAAUUGAGAAGAAAUUAAUGUCAUUAAUUCAUUGACUCAUAUUGUAGACAACCAUAAUUAUUUCUGCUUCAUUAUAUAUAAGAUUCAAGUCUGGAGGAUGCAACCAUUUCUAGAUAUGGUGUAACCGAUUCAAAUAUUAUAGAGAAGUGAAUAGAUUUUCUUUGAAUCAGAUUAUUAAUUGUGAUUUCAUUUAUAUAUGGCAAGGUUUAGAAGUCAAGGAAUCUGAUUGUAAACUCAAAAAAUUUGACUCCAAAUUUUAUUUCAUUUUGGCCGCAAUGCAUUGCAUUUGUGCACUACUUUCUCAAUUUCAUUUAAAUUUGUAGAAACUAGAUUUUACUUUUAAUUUUGAAUUUGAAUUGAAAAAUAAUUCAAGUUUAAACAAGUUAGAGCCAAAAUUUAAGUUUUCUCCCCUUUAUUUUCGUCGAAAAUUUGGAAAUUUGUGGCGUUCAAUGAAUAAGUUCAAAAUUUUGAUCUUUAAUUUGGCUCUAAAAUUUUUUUCGUUUUUGUGCACGUAUUAUGUAAAACAUCCCCAUUUUAAUAAAGUCAAAUAAAGUUAAUAAAGAAGGUUGGAAAUAACGCCCAAAUGAUACAAUUAGGCAAUAAAUGCACUUCUUGAGAUUGCUUUUGUGGUAGUUAUUAUUUCCAUAAUUAAUGAUGAAAUGAAGGACAUUUUAGGAAAAAAACUUAAUUUAACUAACUUUCUUAAUCCAAUAAUUUUUUCUGUUUUCUCUAAAUAAAGAAAACAGAGGAAGCAUAACAUAUUAAUACCAAUCAUUCUUUCAAUUGGUCAUACCAAUAUUGGCACCAAAGGAGUUGCUCAAUUUCAGGUUGCUCUUUUCCACUGCUUUAAAACAUUGGAAAGCAGGGUAACCAUAACUAGGUAUGGAAGCGGGGUAGGUACAACGAAUUUUAAGCUAUCUGUACCCCGUAUCCGUAUUCAUCUUAAACUUUAUUAUCUUUAUCCAUUUCAAAUCCGUUUUAAAUAUCUAUUUAAGUAGUCAUAUCCAAAUCCGUUUAAAUUUUUACUACCUUUACAUAUCUGAAACCCAGUUAAAGUACUCUUAUACGAGAAGAGCACCUGUGAAUCUCAAACUAUCAUAAUCCAACUUACAAUUUUUAUUAAUAAUGGAUAGAAUAUCCGUGGGUAUCCACUGCCAAACUCAUUUAAUAUAGCGGAUACCCAAAGACCUAUACCCAUACACUACCCGUAUCCAUAAUGGUUUCACUAUCCGUAUCCGUCUCAAAUCUAUUUAUAACUACUUAUAUCCUCUUUAAACUGAUUGGAGUGAGAGUACCAUAAAAUAUCUGCACCACUUUCAUCCCUAACCAUAACCAUAUAUCAUCUAGUCAAAAUAUCAAAUAUUAGCUUGGAAAAAUUAAAUAAAAAUAAAUUAAGUAAAUAAAUGAAUAUGUAGAGUUUAUUUCAAUUGCAUACAGGAGGGCUCUUGAUAGAAAUGAUCCCAUCAUCUUGAUUCCUUUUAAUUAAUAAUGAUUUUUCUUCUUGCAGACUUUGUACCACUUCUCAAUCCGAAAAAAGGACUGCAAAGAGAGAUUUUUUUUUUUUUUUAAUGUAGCAUAUAUUUGCUUAGGACAUUGACAAAGAAUGCAAAUAAUUUUAGUUUAAUAGUUAAUAAAUUACAAAAUUAAUUAUUUUAAAUGGUGAUUUUAUAAAAAUUAUAGUCAGUAUCAUCCUCGGUAAUAGAUUGAAAUCCCUAUUUUCCUCUUAAUUAAUUAUAAAAUAGUUUGUUUUAACUUAAUUUUGCAUAAGCAACUAUAAAUUUCUUUUUGUCAUGUAAUAUAAUACUUGCAAAAAAUAGAAGUUUAUCCUAAAAAGAAAUAAAUAAUUGCAUUAUAGUACCUUAAGGAACUUUAUUAGAAAAAGAGAACUCUAGUUUUAUUUAGUAUUAUAGAAUUGUCACAUAAUUCUGUAUAUUGCUGUGAAACAUGAAAUAAGUAUUAACACAGACUAAAUUGUAGGCUAACUGGUUAAAGAUUCAAUUCUUGUCACACAACACAAAUGAAGGGGAAAAAACUAAAAAAAAAAAAAAAAAAAAAGUGUUUGAGACUCAAAAUACAUAAAUUUACGCCUACUAUUUAUUAGAAAAAUCUGUUUGCAAUUUUUUAAUUUUUAGUUUGAUAUAUUAGUCUCUUUAAUUUUCAAAAUUACUUCUAAAACUUCGACUUAUGAAAUUAUGUAAUUUUUAAUAAUUAAAUAUGUCUGAAAUUAUGAUAUUUAUAUAUCUUUUAACAUAAAUUGGUAAAAAAUGAUUUUAAUAUUUUUUUAAUUAUACUCAAAGUGUUCAAUAAAUAUAAUUUUAUAAAUAAAAGUGUUUGAUAGGUGUAGUUUAAUUUAGUAUUUUCAUUGAAUUUUCCUUACAAAUGUAAUAAUUUUGUACCCCUUUUAAAUAUGAGAUUAUUCUUAUUUUGAGAUUUAUGACUAUCUCUCUGUAAAUAUUUUUCAUAGAUCAAACUUCUAAUCUUAUAGAGAAUAUAUCUAUUAAAUUUAAAUUUAUCUUACAACUUAAGUUACUCGCUCUUUAUGAUCAGUAAUGUAAAAAAAAAGUGUGAAAAAAUGACACUUCUAAUAUGGGAAAAUUAAAAAAUUUAACAAAUGAAUGAUUUAAAGAGGUUUUACUUUACUUACUAUUUACUUAAAAACUUAAAAGUCUUAUUUGACAAAAUUAGCGAUUUUAAUAUAUAGUUGUUAAUUGUCCUGAUAACUGUCAACUUUUACACUAGCAUUUUAUUAAAUGUUAAAGUGAAUAAAAUUGAGAAAAAUACUUGUCUAGACUGAGUCUAUGGCCCUAUUUAUGGACCAAACCAAUGAUACUAAAGAUUUUUUAAAAAGUGCUCCGACUUGAUCUCUUUUUUUUUCAAAAAGUGUUUGGUCAGAAAUACACUCGUUUCAAUAAAAAUCCUUAGUGUCAUUGGUUUGAUCGAUAAAUGAGUCAUGAAUCUAAUUUAGAUUAGUUUGUCUCUAAAAUUGGUUUGGAAUAUACCAAUCCAAACUGAAAUUCGAUUCAUUUCAAUUUGAAAUAGAAUAUAAAAUUUAAAAUAUAAUCCAUUUUUAAAAAUAUUGGUAUGGAAUGGAAACAUAGUAGAAAUUUUAAUUUAAUUGUAUAUUUUAAUAAUAAAAUUUUUUCAUUUGAAUUACUCUGAUAUCUGUGUUUUGCUUUUAUUUUAUUAUUUUUUCAAUUUCUUAUUUUUGGAUUUUAUUAUAUCUAUUUUAUGGUUACAGGGACUUUCUAUUUUCUAUAUUUGUUGUUACUUUAUUAUUAAUUAAAUGGAAAGUUGUCAAGUGAAGAUAUGUGCUCAUUCCUUAUUUAUAAAUUAAUAUUUUAAUUAUAUAAAAUAUUAAUUUGUUAUUUUUGCAAUUUAAUUAUAUUUUUUUAAUGUUUAUAUUCAAUUCUAAAUAAACAUAUUGAUUAAAUUCUUAUUAAUUUUAAAAAUUUAUAUGUUAAAAGUAUAUCAUAAAGGCUAGAUUUAUAUUUGCAAUUGAAAAAUUUGUAGUUACUAAAUUUUAAAUCAAAAUUUCAUAAAACAGUAUGAUAUAAAAUUUUAAAUUUCAAAUGUUUCGGAAUGGAAUCAAAAUGAUAAUCAUUCCAAUCUAUAUAGACCAAGUUACAUCUUUGGUAAUGUUUCAUAAUUCGCUCUCUCUAACUAUAAAUAUUGUCUCAUCGAAUACUAUAAAUAAUAAUAAGAACAUAUCAAAAUACUAAAUGGUAGAUGAAAAACUAUAGGACGCAACCAUAACUUAAACAAAGUAUAAUAAGUUGGGCCAUCCAUGAUAAAACUACGGGCAGCGAGACAAAUGUCACAUUUAAGGUUUCAAUUUUUAGUAAAUGUCAUAAAAUAUCAAAUAUUAAGAAACUAAUACAUUUGGUCAAAAAUAGAAUGAAAAUACUUAUAGUAACCUCAAAUAAUAUGAAACUAACAGAUUUGGUCAAAAAGAAAACGCUGAAAAAAAAAGGAAGCCCUAAAAAUGAAAAAGGAAACACAAAGAAACACAAAAUCUGUAGCAAAUCCCUAUACAACUUAUAUAAUUUAACAAUGAGGAUGACGACCGGCGACGACGAUCACGACGAUGGUAAAUACGGUAUAUACAAUAUAUAUGGUGUAUAUAUUGUAUUAAUAAAUACAAUAUAUAUAUUGUAUUAGUAAAUACUGUAAAAUCAAUUAUAUGUAUAUAUAUAUAUAUAUAUUAUUAUUAUUAUUAUUAUUAUUAUUAUUAUAUUAUAUCAAUAUCAAUCCAAACAGAAUCGAGAGUCCUACCUUGUCUCUACAGAGCAUAAACAACAUCUAUGGCGGGGGGGGGGGGGCAGCAAAAAUUAAGUCGUUGAUAUGCUCAUACAAAAAUGAAAUCACAUAAGAGAAAUAGAAUUCAAAAAACAAAAAGAAAUUGUGAAACAACGCAAAUAACGAGAAGAACAACUAGUGGUUGAAAAUACAAAAGUAAAAGGAUAAAUAACGAUAAGAAAAUAAUAAACGACAAUAAAAUGAGAAAGAACGAUGUCGAAAAUAAUGGAGGCAGCAAAAAUGCUGCAGUUAAAAAGAAAAGAAACUAAAAAAGAAACAAUAAUUAAAAUAGGAAAUUAAUAAAAAAGAAAAUACUAAGCAAUUAAAAUAUUGAAUUACUAACAAAUGAUAAUUAAAAUAGAAAAUUAAUAAAAAAGGAAAUGAUUUACUAAUAAACUAACGCCUAAAAACAAAUUCAAAUUGAUAAUAAUUUAAAUUAGAAAGUCAAAACUGACAAUCUCUAAACAUAAAUUUCAUAAUAUAACAUUUACUAGAAUUACGAAAAACAGAGAAGGGCAAUCCAAUCUGUUCAGGAAGCAGGCCGGACUUUGUUGUUCAAGCCCAGAGAGCAAGAGGGUCUUCGGGUCAUAAAUUUCGGACAUUGGAUUUGGAGUCAACAAUUAUCAUAUCUGGUUUAGUCUAGUCCACUGAUUGGAUCAGUAAAACAAACUACUGGCUUAGAUUAAAUCUAUUCAUACCCAACGUUUUGCAAAUACCAAUGCUGAAUUCUGCUUUCCGCCACGUCAGCAACAAUAUCCAAUUGUCUGUUAAGAAUCACCUUCCUUUCUUUCUUCUUCACUUCAUUCAUUUCUAACGUCCUAUCCUUUCAACAACCUCUGGCUCUGUUUCUCAGUAUUACAACUGAAUGGACCUUAGCUUCUCUGCUAAAUUCCAAGCCUUAACCCUAAUUUCUACUUCUCAGAUUUCUUUUCUCUCUUCCAAUAAAUCGUCCAUUCGAAGAGAAUUCCUUGGUUGCUCUCACAAUCUCAGGCCUCCUGGUGGUUCUCUUCGAGUAGGCAAAUGUAGGAAAGUGAAGAUUCGAAGAAGCCAAUCUCAAAGUUUGUUACUCAACGCUUCUUUUGGUUCAGAAUCUGUUCUUGUUGCAGUUGCUGUGUCUACUCUCUCUGCUAUCUCUUUUGCCUACCUUAAUCAGCAAAUAACCAGCAAUAACGGCAACCGAAAGGAUUCGAAAGAGGUAAAAUGAAAAUUUUGGGGUUUUUUUUUUUGUUUUUUAGCCAAUUUGAGUUGUGUGUUAGUUCAAUUAGUUUAGUUUUAAUCUAAUUUCUAUGCUGAAGUCUUUAAUGUCUUGCUACUGUUACAGGCCUCGGGUUCACCUGGACUUGGCUCUUCUCAAUUAGGCAAAAAUAUUGUGAACCACGUUAUUCAAACUCCAUCCGCGGAUGUUGGGAAUAGUCUCAGGAGUAUCCUUGCUACUGAAAGUGAAAACUUGGUGGAGAAGGCCAUAGAAAACAGCCAUGCAAUAGAGGGGGAAGAGACAGUAGUACAAGUUUGUGAAAAUACUUUGAGAAGUACCAGUUCUAUUUUGUUUGAAACGUCAGAAUACGACAAUGCUGACUUCCCAGUAUCUAAUGUUUCUAAUUAUGUGGUUCCAAAAGAAUCUGAAGCUACUAAUGUAUCAGUUUCUAAAGAAUCUGCAAUUCCUGAAUCAGAAAAGGUGUUACCACUCGUACUUAAUGCUAGGGGAAUGUCUGAGCUGACAUUAGAAAAAAGCGGAAAUGAAACUGAUGUUCACGAGGUUGAUGCUGAGUUAACUCAUCUAAUGGAACAGAUGUCUAACAAUACUGCUUCACCUCCUGUAAAUUAUGAAGCUGGUGAAAAGAUUGACCUUUCUAGCUAUCAUGGUAUCAUCAAAGAAUCUGCUAGAGAGGACCUUUACAUGUUUUAUGACAAAAGCCAGUCAGUGGUGAAAUCUCCAUUAAACUUAAAUGGUUCAAACUCAGUAUCUUCUCAUGCCUCCCCUUCGAUUGGCAAUAGCUUUUCUUCAUUCAAGGUGAAUGGCAUUGUAAAAGAGGCAGAUUCGUCAGCACAGCAGUCUCCCAAAAUUGCAGGUUAUGCCACAAAAUAAGAUAUACCUCAUUUUUAUUUAAUGUUUUGAAGUAUGGAUCUAAUCUGUUUUAAUCUAACUAUACUGUACUGGAAAUUCUUACAAGUUUAACUGAAGCAAUUUUUUUUCCAGAGUCUGUUGAUAAAAAAGUACGUCUUGCGCAUUAUGUAAGAGAAUCUUCUCGGAAAAAUGAAAACACAAGGAGAAGGAGAGGAUUUCCAACAGAAAAGGAAAAAGGACGUCCAGUUCAGAAUAAUCAAAUAAAACUACCAGAAUUUCCCUACCCGAAUGGCGUGCAUGUGAUUGACAAAGACCAUCCUUCACAGCAAGUCCAUGCUUACAAUCGUUUGCUAAGAGAUGGAAGGUGAUUUUCAUCAUUCAUUUGUUUAUAUACAGCUUAUUGAUCUGUCUCCUUGUCAAAAUGCCGCAGUAGAGAUAGUAGCUAGCAAAUAAAGUUUGUUUUGAAUAAUAGACCACCAAAAGAAGUGAGUUUCUGAACAUUAUUGUGAGCUGUGGUUUCUUCUUUUUUUAGGUUAACGGAGUGUGUAAGUUUGCUUGAAGAUAUGGAAAGAAGAGGCUUGCUAGACAUGAACAAGGUAAGGCUAUAGAGUAUAGAUUUAGCAAUUAGUUCAUAUGUUGUUCUUAUCAAUCAAUUUCAUUAUCAGAGUUAGUACUGCAGUGAUUUCUCUGGUUUCAGAUUUAUCAUUUCUCUGUUUCAGAUUUAUCAUGCUAAGUUUUUCAAGAUAUGCAAAAUUCAGAAGGCUGUUAAUGAAGCUUUUCGCUUCUGCAAGUUGGUUCCAAAUCCAACAUUAAGCACAUAUAACAUGCUCAUGUCUGUGUGUGCAAGUUCUCAAGAUUCAUCGGGUAAGUUGAUUUGGAACUCUUGGAUACCUUGUCAGAUAUGUGUAGUGUACUGUGAAUAUGGUUCCAAUUCCUGAUAUCUGUAUUAUUCUUUCAGGAGCUUUUCAAGUUCUACAGCUUGCCCGAGGGUCUGGACUGAAAGCAGAUUGCAGACUUUACACUACUUUAAUAUCUACCUGUGCUAAAAGUGGAAAAGUUGAUACAAUGUUUGAAGUAUGGUAACUUUUUUUUUUUUUUUUUUUUCCCGGGUUAAUUUUUCAAUUAAAAAAAAAAAAAAAAAAAAAAAAAAGAAGAUUUCAGAACAUCUCUUUUAUGGUUUUAUUUCUCAUUUCCUUGAUAGUUUAUGCUCUGGCCAUAAAUGUAACAUUUUACCCUUUUUUUUUUUUUUAUCCUCUUUUUGUUCUUGCCAUUUUCACUAAUUAGCGAGAAAAUUCUAAAUUCCUGGCCUAACCUUUUUUUUUUGGCUUUUUAUGAAAGUUAAGUUGGAUUUGAAAAGAUGAUGAAUUCUGACCAAGAUUCCUUGUUCUCUUGGAGCUUUUAUUAAUUUCACUUUUAAUGAAGGCCAUAACAAUUCCUGCACAGAUGGGCCCUUGUUGAGACCUAUGUUAAUUAUUAUGAAUGACUAACAAGUAUCCUGAUGGCUGUGGUAGGUGUUUCAUAAGAUGGUUAAUGCUGGAGUUGAACCAAAUGUUCAUACAUAUGGAGCACUAAUAGAUGGCUGUGCCAGAGCAGGACAACUAGCUAAGGCAUUUGGCGCUUAUGGGAUAAUGAGUUCCAAGGUAUCGUAUGGAAUUUUACAAGAUGUAUAUGUCUGUCUCACUGGAAUUUUUAUAUGGAACUUUCUUUAUCCUAUCAGACCCUAAUGCUUAUUCUCAAAUAAUAUUUUGUGCAAGGCUGUGGUGGCCAUAUUCUUGUUUACUUCUCUCCUAAUGUCAAAUUAAUCUUCGCAUUGAUAAGUUGUUUUAUGCAGUAGAAAGUGAAGCCAGACCGAGUUGUCUUCAAUGCACUUAUAAAUGCAUGCGGCCAAUCAGGAGCUGUGGAUCGUGCCUUUGAUGUGUUAGCAGAAAUGAGGGCUGAGACACAGCCUAUUGACCCUGAUCACAUCACUGUUGGUGCAUUAAUAAAUGCAUGUGCAAAGGCUGGUCAGGUUGGUCUAUUAUCUAAUCUGUGCUUUUGGUUUCUUGGUGGUAGCUUUAUUAAUUUAUGACAGAAUGGAAUAUUACUUUCAGAUUAAUCGAGCAAAAGAAGUAUACAACAUGAUGCAUGAAUUUAACAUCAAGGGGACUCCAGAGGUUUAUACUAUUGCUGUUAAUUGUUGUAGCCAGACUGGUGAUUGGGAGUUUGCCCGUAGUGUGUAUGAUGACAUGAAAAGGAAAGACGUGGCCCCUGAUGAGGUAUCAACUGCUCAUUCUGGUAGAAUCAAUAUAAAAUUAGUAAUAUUAUUUGGAAAAUGGUUUAUAGUGGAAAACUGUGGUCUUUAGUAGUGUGGUUAUGUCUUAUGAAUAAUGUGCUCUUCUUGUUUGGUAUAGAAGCAAAAACUGAUGAAUUUUAUUAUCCAUACGGCCUUUGCAGUGGACUGUUGCUUUAGCUCUUUUUCUUUUGAAGAGUGAAUUAAUCAAUUUAUUUACUUAAAAAAUCAUCAAAGAGGGUGAACUUGUUUACAUUACAAGUGUAAGAAAUUAAGAACAACUACAAAAAUGACUGUUAGCAAAUCUAGAAAAUGAAAAGUAAUCUACCAUUACAAAAUUAAGGAAUGCUCAACCACCUCUCAUUAAGUAUAGCUAUGGAGAGGGUUUCACAUUAUUAAAGUGAUUGUUGUUCUUACAAAUCAUGCAGAUGUUUCUUAGUGCGUUGAUAGAUGUAGCGGGGCAUGCUGGAAAGGUGGAUGUUGCAUUUGAGAUCUUACAGGAGGCAAGGAUUCAAGGAAUGCAACUUGGAAUUAUACCAUAUAGUUCAUUGAUGGGAGCUUGCAGCAAUGUAUGUCUCUCACACUCAGUGUUGUGGUAAAAAAGCUAUUUUGGUUCAUGUAAAUGGUUCAAUUUUUGAUUUCGAGUCAUGAAGUACCAAAAUUAGACAUUCUUGCCAAAUUUGAAAGCUAUAUGUGAGUUACCUAAGGAUUUAGGCUGUAGCUCUAGAGUUUUCACGUUCAACUAUCUAAGCUUUUGGGUCUGAGUCCUGUUUUUAUCAUGAAACAUAGGGUCUUUAUUGUAAGUCUCUGUUGGUUCCAAAUUAUAGUUUUGCUUCCACCUUUUAUAUUUUUUUAUCAAAAUUAGUCAUGGCAUAUGGAGGGACUUAUCAUUCAUGAGCAUGGAAAAAACAGAGAAAGUGUAUAAGUUAUUUUGAGGUCAUUUGAUUCUUGCUUUGCAUGUUUAAAAUUCAAACUAAAAAUUAUGAUAAAGGCCAGAACCUGCUAAACAGUUACAACUUUUCUUCCUUUUGUUUUAGGCCAAGAACUGGCAAAAGGCACUGGAGCUAUAUGAAGAUAUCAAAUCCAUUAAAGUGAACCCAACUGUCCCGACCUUGAAUGCCUUGAUCACUGCCUUGUGUAAGUCUGUGACCUAUUUCUUCUUUCAAAAUAAUCUGAUUUGAUUGGAGAUCCAUUUGGUGUCUAAUAAUCUGUUUGUUACUGAACUAUGUAGACAACCUAAAACCACCCUAUACUGAAUGCUGUACAUGGAUUGGCUACCCACCCAAUAUAUUCUUGCUGCUAUCUGGGUAUUUGAGGGGGCUAGAGUGAAGUCUUGAUAAAUGACUCUUAGUAAAAGGUGUAUUAGAGGGUUAUCAACACUGGUCUAUGUAGCAUUAUUGAUAUCUUGAAAAGGAGAUGCUUGGUACUGUUAAAUUCUAGAACAAACAAGGUUGAGAUAUUUUGAUGUCAUAUUCUUAUAGAUUGAAGAAGUAUUUAUUGACAGAUCUGAUUAUGGUGAGGUCACUAUCCCAAUACAAAUUAGUGCAAUUAUACCGGAAAAAUGGCCUAAUCUGCACCUUGGAAAUCCACCAAGAGGAAGAGAGAAAUAAAGAGAAAAGUUUCAACUUUUUUUUUUGAUUCAUUGGGUGGCCCAAUUGGCCGAAUAACAUGGUGGGCUACACAAUAGAAGAGGCCCUCCCUUUGGCUUACUAAAUUAUUGAAAAUUCUUGUAGUCGAGAUAACUCGAACUCGAGACUCCCCACUUUUCACAUUGGUGAGAAGACCAACCAGACUACACUUGGUUGGCAAAAAAGUUUCAACUUUAUUGAUGCUGGAAAAUGAAAGUUGAAUGCAAAAUUUAAUUACUUACGGUCCUUGUAACCUAUAGGUUAAUUCCUUCAACUAAUUAGGAAGUAAGCCUCCUAUUAAAACUAAGAACAAUAUAGGUCCAAAUAAAAUAACUUCUAAAUAAUAUAGAUCAUCUAUAUAUAUUCUGUUCUUUCUAUAUAAGGAAUCCAACAAAGAUAUUUAAGCAAAAACUACUGACUUAAUGGCCACGUAUUAAAAAUCAAUGUAUUAAAAUCUUUUACAAAUAAUUCUAGGUCUAUUAUAGUAUUGCUUGGAAUUCUCAUGCAUCAGCCAUUAUUACUGGUAGAGCUGUUGCUUAAUUGUAUGCCCAAUAGAAUUUAUUGUAGCCAAUUUUAUUUUUUUUUCUUUGGUUGAUGUGGAAUUCAAUUGAUUCUUAGGAAAAUUUAAGAUGACAUAUAUUAUUAGACUAAUAUUUAUUUUUUGUAUGUAUGCUUACAUAUCUGGAACUUGGUAAAAUUUCUGCCCUUUGAUCUUUGGCACAUUAUUUGUGAAUCAAUAUAGAUUUUUGGCGAUGACUUGUGUAGAAGUGUAAUUAUAGAAUAGCAAAAGACAGGAAAUUAAAUAAAGCAGAUUUGCUGCAGGUGAUGGGGAUCAAUUGCCAAAGGCUAUUGAAGUUAUGUCAGAGAUGAAGAGUUUUCGCUUGUGCCCAAACACUGUUACAUACUCCAUACUCUUUGUGGCUAGUGAAAGGUAAAUGAACUAUGAUUUCAAUUACUAUUAUUUAAAACAAUGCUUUUCAACAUGUACCUUUGCCUCAAGUGUCAUAACUUCAAUUUUUUUUUUUUUUUUUUUUUUUUUUCUUUUUUUUUUUUUUUUUUUUUCUUUUUUUUUUUUUUUUUUUUUCUUUUUUUUUUUUUUUUUUUUUCUUUUUUUUUUUUUUUUUUUUUCUUUUUUUUUUUUUUUUUUUUUCUUUUUUUUUUUUUUUUUUUUUUUUUUUUCGGGUUUGUUUUUGUGCAGAAAGGAUGAUCUAGAGGUUGGCCUCAGGCUUCUUUCACAAGCCAAAGAAGAUUGCAUUGCCCCCACCCUCAUUAUGUACAAAUGCAUAAUAGGUAAGUUUCAAAGAGAACCAAAAAUGCUUUCUUCCAAACAUUUGUCAAUCUAUUUUUCCCUGCUGUUUGUAGUUAAUUUUUUUCUAUAUUUUGUGUUUAAGCUUCCAAGAAUUACUUGUUUAUGCAGCCAACCUUCUAAUAUAAAUAGGAGUUAUUAUCUCCUAUAAAUUUAACUAAUCUUUUGACUGUUUCCACUUGAAAGGCAUGUGCCUGCGAAGAUAUGAGAAGGUUUGUGCUCUUGGUGAGCCUGUUUUAUCAUUUGACUCAGGCCGGCCACAAAUGAAAAAUGAGUGGUAUUUCAUUUUUUCUCCCCAUUCAACUAGUAGAACUAUUUUGUUAGGCAUGUAUUUUCGAAUUUCUUUGCUUUUAUCAUUUUUACCUUUGUUUGUUUUUUUUCUUGGGAGGAGUGGGUUCGAUUGUUCCUUCAACUAGUGUUACCCUGGAAAUUUUAAGAGGAUGGCUAUUAUUCAUGAAUAGUAAUCUUACUGUAUGUGAGUAAUUUUCUAAGUUCUAAUCUCCUCCAUUUAUCCUUCAGGACAUCACUGGCCUUAAUGGUCUACCGUGAAACAAUUGCAGCUGGCGAGAAACUUACAAUGGAAGUUGUUUCACAAGUUUUGGGAUGCCUGCAGCUCCCUUUUGAUGCUUCGUUGAAACACAGAUUAGUUGAAAAUCUGGGAGUUACUACUGACUCGUCAAAAGUCUCUAACCUCUGUUCUUUGGUGGAUGGAUUUGGAGAAUAUGAUCCUCGUGCAUUUUCAUUGCUUGAGGUCCGUAGGCGACUGAACCAUUUGGACAAUUUUCUGACUUCAUUCUUUCUUAUGAAACUAUAAAUGGGAUGCUAGCUAAGACUGUUACCAAUUGCAGGAAGCUGCUUCUCUUGGAAUCAUUCCUUGUGUAUCCUUCAAAGAAAGUCCUAUCAUUGUUGAUGCUAAAGCAUUGCAAAGUCAUGUGGCUCAGGUAAUUUUUUGACAUGUAUUUUACUGCCAGUUAGAUGAUAGUAAUUCUUCUGAAAAUUUUCUGUUGUCUAAAUAACUUCUUUGCUUCCUUGAGGCUCUACACUUGCUCAGAAUGCAUUUCUAAUUUUCAUGCUUCUAAAUUGCUGAUAUUAUGAAAUGUGGACUGCUCCAUUAUUUUUCUUUAGUGAACUGUUAAAAAUAUUAUAACAUUGUUAUGUAUUGACAAUUGAGUCUUCACUGAGGACUUUUAUUUGUCAUUUUAUCUCAUUCCUAUAUCAUUGGCAUUUUCAUGGUUCCAUUAUUUUCUUUUGUUCACUUGCUUCAUUUAUUAUCUCUAAGCUUGAGCAAGAGGAAAGCAGAUAACUUGCAGGAAGUAGGACGUGUACAUUGUUUGCUCAAAGGGUUAUAUGAAUUCUGAGCCAAACCAGUUGUUUUGGUUUCCAAUUUUUAUAGUUUCAUAAGAAAGAAAGAGAUUCAAAUUCAUUGCUCAAAACUGAAAUCUAGCAACCCCUAAUUUCGACAAACUCCACAUACUUUUGGGCUAAAAGCCUCUGCCUAUUCCAUUCUUGAUUAGGAGUUACCUCAAAAAAAAACAAAGAAUUUGACUCUCAUUUAUAGAGAGUAUAUUCUUGCCUCCCUUUUACAUUGUUAAUGCUGUAUUUUGAAUAACUAAGUGAGAUUGUGGCAUGCAAUCUCACUAGAUCGCACAUCUGAAUUUUAAAAGGAGAAGAGUAAUUAAGGUUUUCUGCUCUCUUGCUCAACACUGUGUAGAAGCUUAUAGCCCAUCAAUUGCAAUGGACUUGGCAGGAGAGUGCAAAAUGGAUAAAGAUGAAUUGAAAUAUUUUACAUAAUUUUAUGGAUAACAAUUAUAUUAUGACAUUGUGGUUGACAAUGCACAUCCUACUGUCUCUGACAUAAAGCAAAAUAUGAGUUCAAAUUAUCUUCCCUAUUCAAUUUGUGCUGCUUCUUUCAUUUUGACGACUUCCUGGAGAAUCUUGUCAGGUGUACCUUUUAACCAUUUUGAAGGGUCUCAAGCAUCGGCUUGCUGCUGGUAAUUUUUGUUUAUAAAUACCUUUUUUAGAAUUCAUUGAAUUCUACAAUAUGUUAAUUUCUGAGUUUCAACUGAGGAUUAAAAGUUGAAUGAAGUUCCUUAAAGCACAAAAAAAGAAAAAUGCAUGUGCAUCAUUUCUCCCAAACUAUUGAAAAGCUCAUAAUGCUCUGUUUUAUAGGCGGUAGUUUAUGAUGUUCCAUUUUCUAUUUCAGCUGGCCUCGUUUUUUUUACUGUUUUUCUAGCUGUAGAUGUGAUAAAGAACAAAAAUGAAAAGGGGGAGAGACAAAGAAACAAGAGGAGGGAAAUUAACAAAGAAUCUUGAAAGAAUACCAUUAACCUCAAUUCCAAUUCAUUAUUGAUAAACCCUUUCUAACAAUUGGCUGGGGUGAUUUUGAUUGUGAAAUAUGACAAUUUCGAAAUAGGAUUAAAUAAAAAUUUAUAAUGAUGAAAAUAUUUUUGUUGUUUAGCUGGGAUACUUGUACUCUGCGCUGUGCUAAAGAAGGAAAAACUUGGUUAGGUAGCUUCUAUUUAAUUUAAUUGAAUGUGCAAUUGCUAACUUUUAGUUUUUUCGCUACCAACAAAACUUUCAACAGGUGCAAGGUUGCCCAAUAUAACGAUUUUACUGCCUACAGAGACGGCACAAGUCAAGGUGCCUGAAGGGGAGAAAACAAUCAACAUUGCAGCAAGGUGAGAAGUACUACUUUGAAGUGUCUUGAGUGUUAAUAUUUUUGCCUGAACUCCAUGCUUCCUCUCAUCUUUAUCUAUAGCAUGUUAUGAAGUUCUAUACCAUUUUUCUGGAUAAACUGGAAAAUCUGGCCAAAGGUCUGCAUUUAUGGGUUUGUUAACCUUCGGUUGUUUAAUUGUGUUGGAGAGGAAGUGCUGAACUAAUAAGAUAGUUAGUGGUGUUGAUUGGCUAUUAUAUCAAUAGCUGUAGCUAUUGGCUUUGAAAGAUCAAAUGCAUCCGUCAUAAAAUUUUAGUCCAAAACCUGCAUUGCAAGAAAUGGGGCCGUGCAUGGGUCGAGUUCAGUUUGGGGAUUGAAAAUCUUUUCGAUGCUAAGCAAAAUUAAUGAGUGAAACCAUAUUGAAACUUUAAAGAAUUGAAAACUGAAUUAUCUUGAAAAUUUGGUCUGUUUUGGUUCAGGGAUUCGAUUCUUUGAGUUCCAGUCCAAUUCAUAAAUUUCAAUAAUUCAUGCUAUAAAUAAUAAAUUAUUUAUCUAAUAACUAAGAAUGACUAAACUUUUACCAUGCUAUAUAAUAUAUGUGUGUGUGUGUGUGCGUCUGUGUGUGUAUAAUUAGUUUAAUUUUCAGGUUUUUUGAUUCAGCACAAUCCAGUACAGUUUGGUACAGUUCUCAAAUCUGAUUAUUACUAAACAUCCAAAACCACGCUAUGAUGGUAUUGAUUCAAUUCAUUUCUGGUUCCUACAUUGUUCAGUUGUUUAGGUUCUGCUACCUUCCAGUUCAGUCUUUUGGUUCAAUCUGGUAAUACAAAGAUCUGCACACAAUCCUAACCGGAAAGGCCUAAUGACCAAUAUAUUUUGUGUCACCUGGACACUUUUUGUGGAAUUUUCAGGAAAUAUAAAGUAUUUGUUUAAUCCUAGCUUUGGGGGAACAAGCAUACAAGACAGUUAUCAUAAGAUAUAAUGUUUCCAUAAACAAGCGAUGCACGAUAAACAAGUUAAAGGAUAAAUAACCAUGCAUGAUUCUAAAAGUAAAUGCUUUGAUUGGCAGGGUGAGCCAAGAUGUUGCUGCUCUAUUAAGAAGGCUAAGGCUGCAUUACCAAGGAAAUGAAUCAUACGGGAAAAUUAGAAUCAACGGAAUUUCCUUAAAAAGAUGGUUUCAACCAAAGCUUGCUUAUCCUUUCAGUGGAAAACCAGAAGAGUUGAACUCAUCUCUAUUACGAAUAGGAAAAGACAUCAGUCAUCAGCAACGUAAUAUUCGAACUGGAAAUUUGUCUCUGGAAUAAGAGGAAGAAUGCUUAUUGCUGCUGACAGGGUAACACCAUUAGAAGAUUUGAGUUAUACAUCAAUUUUUUUCCUAUAAUAAGACAACAUGACAGUUAUGGGGAACGACCUAGUCUCAUUAUCAUGCAAUAUGGCCAAAUUUCUGCUAUGUUGUUGAAUGGCUUUUGGAAAAAUUGUGAACGAAAGUUGUGCUCUCUCCUUCCAAGGACAUGGCGGCGAUACUUCCCCUGCAGUUUAAGAGAAUGAGACAUAGAAUUAAAUAAUUUCCGGCUGAAAGAAAAGAGAUUGUUGAUUCAGCAGUCACUGAUCAUGAUUUUCCAUUUUGUAGAGAAGUAUAUUACUCAUAGCAGGCCAACAAACCAGUGCCUGCAACUUGGAAUAACUGAAAGAAUAUGAAGAUUCGUGUAUAAUAUUUGCUGAAUACCACUUGUAAGAAGAUACAUAUCAUCUGUACAUUGUCAAUUUUGAAUGUAUUACCGUAUUAUUAUCGCAUAAGAAGAUAUUCACACUAGGGAAAAGUACUUUUUAGUCCCUGAGUUUUGACCCAAUUUACUACUCCGACUUCUAUUUUGGUAAACAUAUAUAAUAUCCCUGAGGUUUGGUUUCACCCACCCAAAUGGUCCUUCCGUUAAAAAUAGAGUUUUUUACUGUUAAAUAUCAAUUAAAAGGACGCAAAUGCCCUACUAUAUAAAAUCACAUCUUAUCUCCUCUUACCUCCUUUCUCUCUCCGUCUCCUUUCUAUCUUUUUCUCUGUCUCUCUCCAAUGGCAACAUGAUCUACUAUGAAAAAAUUUAUAGAAGCCAAAAAUUUUCAAAGAUCUAAAAUCACAACUGGCAAAGCUUCAACAACUGAAAUAUGGGUCCUUUACCAGCAAAGUGGUAAUGUUCACCUUCCUUUGUUUUUUUUACUUUUUUUCGCAAAAACAAAAAAUAAAAAGAAAAUUUUUAGCGUUAAGCUUUAAGAAAAUUUUCAAAUCCAAAGCUUAAGAAAAUGGUGUGAGGUUUUUGGGUAAGGUCUAGAGAAUUUUUAGUUAGCUUUUUAUUAUUAUUUUAUUUUUCUGGGGUAAUUAACAUCUUUAUGGGCUUUAUUAUAGAUUCAUUCAAUAACAGAUUUAUAUUGAUCGUUUUAUGGAUUUUACCAUAAAUUCAUGGGCUUUUCUUCAUUUUCUUCAUUAUUAUUAUUUAUAUUUCUUCAUUUAUAGGCAUAAAAGAGAAUUGACUAAUGGAUUGGGAGAUGGACGCAAAUUUGAGUUUAUUUUCAUCCCUGUUUUCUUUCAAAGAUAUAAUUUUAGUUUGUAUUGUUAUCUGUAAGUUUAUUGUAUGAGUUAAAUUUAUCAAUAAUGAAUGAAAUAAAAAUUAAAAAAAAAAAGUCUGCAAUGAUAUAUGUUUGAGUAUGAAAGAGUUGAAAUUUAUAGGUAGUGGUGGUAGAUUUAAAACCCAACGAUGAAAAUAAAUUCUGGCAGUGAGUAGGAAUUGUUGCUGCUUGCAGCAAGAGAAAGAUGAAGAUAAAGAAAAGGUUGAGGGUUAAUGGGUUGGUGGGAGGGUAAUGUAGUCUUUUCUCUAAUAUUUGACGGUGCAAAUGCUUGUUUUUUUGGUUCACGGACCAUUUAGUUCUCCGGAAUCAAAUCUGGAGAUAUUUUAUACGUUUACCGAAAUAGAAGGACGGAGAAAUAAAUUAGGUCAAAUUUCAGGGACUAAAUAGCACUUUUUCCUUUGUACUAUUAUCUUAAAAGGAAAAACAUUGUUGUGGAUAAGCUGAAAUCAGUUGCUCAAACCCAACUGAACCUCUGAAAAUUCUUUUGCUAUUACUGUUACCAGCUCCGGAGAGUUACUGUUGCCUAUGGUAAAUGCGUUACGAAAUAUGAAGGUUAUUUGGACCUGGGAAUGCCAACGAUUCUACUUAAAAUAGAAUGGAAAGAUAAAUAAAUGUUUAAUCUGAGAAACUCUAUUCAGAUUUUAGAAUUAAUUUAUUGUAUAAAGAACUAUUCUAAAACAACAUAUCCAAACAUUAAAAAUGAAAUUCUUUUACAAGAAAUGCAUAUAUUAUCUAUGCAACUUCAAAACAAAUCAAAUGAUGUUAUUCUUGAGUCUUUUAUUGUAACGUUAUUGAUUUGAGAGGUUAGUUUGGUUGUCACAUUCGAAAAUUCCUCAAAAUCCCCUAAUUUUCAACUGCAAAAUGUUUUGCUUCAUGUGAAACAUGAAUCAUUCCUUUGUCAAGUGCAUUAGUGUAGGAAUACCCUUUAUGAAGAAUUGGUUGGUUGGUUCAUGAAUAAACUAGAAAUUGCCAAGAAGUUUCCAAAACUCAUUUCAUAUACCACUUGAACAAAGAAGUUCCUCUCCUUCAAUGGAAAUUUGAGCAAAGUUUCAAAUAAAAUUUAAUAUUGUAGCAGAGUUUCAAAUAAAAAUUAAUGUGAAAGAGUGACAAAUAAUAUAUAAUUUGUCAAAAAAAAAAAAAAAAAUCCUUCAUGAUCCACUCAAAAGUGGAAAAAUUUACAUAAUGUAUAAUAUUGCGCAAUCCUCCUAUCUUUCUAGGAGGAAAAAAAAAGGCAAGAUAAAAAAACUUGCGAAAAAAAAAAUGAUCAUAUUUUCACAAGGCAAGAACUCUAGAAGUAAGAUGAAUAAAAGCAUCCUCAUUGCAAGGAAUUGUAAGAGCACCCAUUGGGUGAUUGAACCCAAACUCUUCUUCAGCCUGGUUAAGUAAAUCUUGGAAACAAGGAUGAUUCAAAUAAGAAAUUGGGACAACAUAUCUCUUCCUUUCAACUUCUCCAACAUAAACGGCUACAUGCCCUUUUGGUACCAUGGACUGGUUUUUGCCAUGGAAAGACUGUUUCUUGAGAAUUUGAAGAAUACCCAUUUCAAGAUUUGGAAAUUUUGUUGAAAGGAAGAGACUUCUACAGAAAUUGCUGAUCUAAUUCGGAGCUUGAAGGUUGGUUGGCAUUGGAUGUGUACUUAUACUAGGGUUUUGGAAUCUGGGUGCUUUUAGUAGGACCCACAACAUCAAAGACUCUCACAUGGCUCCUCAGAGAAGAGAAGUCUGUACAAUUAAAUUAUAUAUAUAUAUAUAUAUAUAUAUAUAUAUAUAUAUAUAUAUAUAUUUUUUUUUUUACAAAAAAGAAAUACAGAAUUAUCAAUUUUAGCAGCAUCCUUGCAUGCUGUUCUUAUGGUGCAAUAGUGCCACUUGUGAGUUGGCAGUGUGAUUGGUCUAAUCUAAUCUAAUGAUAUAUACGCGGACAUUAGAGGGUGGCUUCAGUGUAUUUGGACCCUCUAAUGGCCUGUAAAGCGUUUAAGUCUAACCUGACGGCCGUACAAUAGGAAAUAAAAACGAAAGUUCCUCAUAAAGCAUAUAUAUGGUCAGACUCCAACAACUGAGAUAAAGCCCACUUCUAAUCGUCAUUCAUCUGGAAACCUUAUUUUUUAUUUUGUUAAAGAAUUCAAAGAAAAUAUAUAAAUUUUAUAUUUUAAAUUUUAUUUUCGGGAGUAUCCUUUGUCCGAAAAGGAUAGAGACCUCCCUCCAAAGGUUUCUCUAUACACAAUAUAAUAUAUUGAAUCUAAAUCACUUGCUUAAAACGAUCGAGCCAUUCUAUUCAGACCAAUUUACAUUAGUAUAAUGUAAAUAAGAAGUAUACACCCUUUUGUCUACGAAAAUAACAAAAUCUUAUUAAUAAUUUAUCUUUUUAUGGAAAAAUUUAUUAAUAAAAUUAAUGAAAACAAAUCAAACUUGAAUACUAUAAACUAAUAUUUUAUCAAUUUAGUCAAUUCUUGAAUGAUGGAAUCGUGUAACAAUCUUGCUGUUACCUAAUUUUAGAGUCUAAUUUUAAUAUAAAAGAGAAAAACUAACAAAUAGUUAGUUCUUUCCAUAUUGUUUUUCUUUUUAUGGCAUAUCAGAUGAAAUGGUGAUGAAAAUUUUGAGAGUAUAUGAACUUCAGUUUGAAUAUUUCCAAAUAAUAAUUGAUAGUAGAUGAUUGAGAGCCCACUCCGCUACUCGUUCUUACAUGCACAGCACAUGGAAUCAUGUGCUUCUUUUCCUGCAAAAUCUUUCUUGGGAAUAUACUCUGCAUCUGAUGUGAAACUUACUAUAUAGAAUCACUAAUGCAGAGAUAAGAAAGGUUCAUGAUUAGAUCAAUCAGUAGCUGUGGAUUUUUCUGCUAAAAGAACAGGCAGUAGUUGUUGCCUCGUAACCCUAUUUUUUUUCUCCUCCACCUCCAUUGUAUCAUACUAUAUCAAGCUUAGAUAUUUUUUUUUAUAUGUUAAUUUAUUCUCUUAAAGAAAUAAACUAUUCAAAUCAAAGAUGAGCAGAUUCAUAAAGAGUAUCUUCAUCUUAAUUAUUUAAUUGCAAAAUUAAAAUCUUAAUCAAUGAUGAGAUACCAAAAAAAAAAAAAAAAAAAAAAAACUAUCUCAGUUUAAGUCAUUUAAGAGAAAAUUUAAUAUUAAUUGAAGUCUAAAUUGACUUCAAAUUGUUCUUAAUUAAUUAUUAGCAGUUAAAAUAAAGAAUAAAGAAUUAAAUCAUUAAAUAAUAUUACAAGUGUAUAAAUGAACUGAGCAGGAAGUAGUUGAUAAUAUCAAACUUAAAUUAUAUGAUUUUUGUAGCUAUGCUUCCAUGGAAAAUUAACAAAAUGAAAGUUUUUGGUUCUAAAAGAUAAGUCAAAUGUUGAAUAUGUGCAGUCAUUCUUCUAGAAGAAGUUGGCUUUUCACUCUUCUCUGUUUGAUUAUUUCAUGCCUUAGAUUAUGCCUCGAUAAAAAACUUUCUUUGGAUUAAUAAGUCAGAAGUAAUUUCUGAACUCAGAAGCUAAAUCAACUUGGUUUGCGAGCCUAUAAGCUAUUGCUUGUAUAUUAAUUUACUACUUCUUUUUAAUAUCAGCUAGUUUAUUAUUUAUGGAGUGUUUGACUCGACUGAAAUUCAAUAUUUUCAUAGAAAUUUGUUUUUUUUUAGAAAAAUAAAUUGUCAAGAAAGUAAAUAAUCAAUUUUGGGUUAAAAAUAAAUUUUUCUAUCAAAUCAAAUUAAUAUAAUUAAGAAUAUUAAUAUUAUUAUGUUUUUUAAAAAUAACUUAUUUUUUUUCUAGAUAUUAAAAUUUCUCAUCCUUUGAGAAGAGAAAAUACAUUUCCAUAUAUGGAAAAAUAAGAAUGGAGCGAUCUAUAUUUGAAAAUUAUACUUUUUUAUAGUGUAGACUUCUUAUAUUGACCAAAUAUCGAAAUUUUAUUUUUCUCAUAAUAUUCCAGCAACCAGGCACCGUUAAAUUUAAGAUUUGUGUAUUUUGUUUAUUAUAAUUAGUAAUUUUGGUGUAUUGUUUUUUCUUCUCAACUCAAAAUUAACAAUGCAUUUUAAACAUGAGGUGACGAACGUUUAAAGCAUGAGGUGUAGGUAAGUCAUUCUUUAGAUAAACUAAAAUUGGGAAAACCUUUUUUAUUAAUUUUUAUUUGUUUCUGGAGAAAAUCUUUGUCAUAUAUUAACAAUUUCAAAUGGUCAAAGAGAUAACAAUCACACUUUCUCUUCCUUUUCUCUCUCUCUUAAUUCUAUUCUAAAUUUAACUUUUUUUUCUUCAGGUACUGAAUUUAAACAUUAAUUUCAAAUUUAAAUUUUACUCGAUUUAAUGCAUAAAAAACUUUUUUCUUAGUACUCACACUCUCUCUUAUGGUCAGGUUAUGUCACCCAUCCAUCUUCCUUUGGAUUUUCUUCUAGAAGUCAAUUCUUCUUGGACAAGGAUCUCUCCUUAUGGGUUCAUUCUUAGAGAAAGAGACAGCCAAUGCAAGAUUUGAGUUGCUGGUUCCAUAGUUGAAGAAUCAUCGCUCAUAGAUGUGAAUUGAGAAGGCAUACAAAAAUUAAACCCAACUAAUGGGUUAAUCUAAAACACACUGUUUUAAACAUAGAAAUUAACAAAUACAUACUGAAUAAGAGAUGUAUGACACUAAAAAUUGCAAAAAUAGAUAAAUCCAAUUGUAAAAUCAAAUUUAUAAAAUAUACAACCAUAUGAAGUCAAAAUUUUGAUUUAUGUUUAAAAUUAGCAAUAAGCACUUGAAAAUUCGCAAGAUAAAGAAACAACUCCAUAUGUAGAAAGUAGCAGAGGAUAGAACAUUCUGCUUUUAAAAUAGAACAAUCAAUCAACACUAACGCUGAUCCAGUAUCAAUCACUUUACAAUACAAUUGUUUAGCAAAAAUGUAUUUUAACAAAUAAACUUCAUUUUGAACGGAUAAUGAAAAUCUGCAAUUUUCAAAAGCUCCAAUUUAUGCAAUCUCAUGAACAAUCUAGUAAAACUCCAAAUUAGUCGAUGACAAGUGGGACCGACACAGUUUGAAAAGAAAAAAAAAAAAGAAAACCGUGUUAUUUGAAAAAGAAGAAAGUUGGCAAUUCUUUUGACAAAAUGGAGAGCCGUGAAUGAGUUAUGCACGGCUCUCUCGUAACCUGAGGCAGAUGCACCUCAACAACAACACACAGCAGAAAAAAAAAAAAUUGUAAAGAGAGUGUGUCUAGUUUUAAAAAUGGUUUCUAAAUAUAGGGGAGAGAAAAAUAGUGAGUAAAUUAUUUUGGGGUGUUUUUGGGAAACACUUUGUGUGCCACUAUUUUGUCUUACUCUCUUUGUGUACCUACUAUUUUUAAUAGUGGAAGAAUUAUUCGGAGUUUGUCCCGUGGACGUAGCCCUAAACAGUUGAGGGUGAACCACGUAAAUUUCUGUGUGUCACAAGUCUAUUUUUCCGCUGCGUUAAUUUUCUCUUAAUUGGUUGAAAGGACUCAACAAGUGGUAUCAGAGCUGAUGACCAAAAACUGGUAUUAGAACUGAUGCCUAACAAGGGAUAUCAGAGCUGAUGCCCAAUAACUGGUAUCAGAGCUGAAGGUUUCGGCAGAUCAGCCGGUCAGAUAGCGGUACUAAAUCCAUGGAUAUAUUUUGAAAUAAAUAUACCAUGACGAAGAGAAAAUUACGACGAGUCUAUUGGUGCUGUCCGCUUGGAAAGACAUUGCAGAAUCGACUUAGUGAUGAAUAGUAAAAUAGUAACUCAAAGUUGAUGGUGAAGAGUACUAUUGGCGUUACUGUUGCUGAAUCCGUUUCAAAUAAGCCCAGCACUAUUCACGAAUAGAACUAUUCACAUGUACAAUUACUAUUCAUGCAUACAGUUACUAUUCAAAUAUACUAUUACUAUUCAUGAUCACUAUUCACGUAUAUUACUAUUCACAUAUACGGUUUAUGUUGGUAUUGAUUUUCUGCGUAAGUCAAAAUGGACAAGCAAAAUGAUCAGUCUAAAUGGCGAGAAUUACCAUAUAUAGAGAAAUGAGAGAUCUCCUUAUGGUAAUCAAAAUGCAUUUNNNNNNNNNNNNNNNNNNNNNNNNNNNNNNNNNNNNNNNNNNNNNNNNNNNNNNNNNNNNNNNNNNNNNNNNNNNNNNNNNNNNNNNNNNNNNNNNNNNNNNNNNNNNNNNNNNNNNNNNNNNNNNNNNNNNNNNNNNNNNNNNNNNNNNNNNNNNNNNNNNNNNNNNNNNNNNNNNNNNNNNNNNNNNNNNNNNNNNNNNNNNNNNNNNNNNNNNNNNNNNNNNNNNNNNNNNNNNNNNNNNNNNNNNNNNNNNNNNNNNNNNNNNNNNNNNNNNNNNNNNNNNNNNNNNNNNNNNNNNNNNNNNNNNNNNNNNNNNNNNNNNNNNNNNNNNNNNNNNNNNNNNNNNNNNNNNNNNNNNNNNNNNNNNNNNNNNNNNNNNNNNNNNNNNNNNNNNNNNNNNNNNNNNNNNNNNNNNNNNNNNNNNNNNNNNNNNNNNNNNNNNNNNNNNNNNNNNNNNNNNNNNNNNNNNNUGGUGGAAAUCGAUAUUUUGUGACAUUUAUCGAUGACCAUUCUAGGAAGACCUGGGUAUACACAUUGAAGUCUUCUAAACCUGGUUGAGAGAUAGACAGGCAAGAAGCUGAAGUGUAUCAGGACAGAUAAUGGUGGAGAAUACACUGGGCCAUUUGAUGCUUUCUGCAAAGAGCAUGGCAUUCGACAUCAAACGACACCUUCCAAGACGCCGCAACUGAACAGUUUGGCUGAGGAUGAACAUAACUUUGAUGGAGAGAGUCAUAUGUUUACUCUCAUAUGCAAAGUUGUCUAAAAGAUUUGGGCUGAAGCUUUACUCACAGCAGUUUGCCGUUCACUUUGUUUCCCUGAGAGUCAUAUGUUUACUCUCAUAUGCAAAGUUGUCUAAAAGAUUUGGGCUGAAGCUUUACUCACAGCAGUUUGCCGUUCACUUUGUUUCCCUCUACAGUAUGAUAGUCCAGAGAGAGUAUGGUUAGGAAAGGAUGUUUCCUAUGAUCAUUUGCGAAUGUUUGGUUGCAAAGCCUUCGUACAUGUCCCGAAGGAUGAACGAUCGAAGCUUGAUGUCAAGACUAGACAAUGUGUAUUCAUUGGCUAUGGCCAAGACCAAUGUGGCUAUAGGUUUUAUGACCCAAUCCAGAAGACGAUUNNNNNNNNNNNNNNNNNNNNNNNNNNNNNNNNNNNNNNNNNNNNNNNNNNNNNNNNNNNNNNNNNNNNNNNNNNNNNNNNNNNNNNNNNNNNNNNNNNNNNNNNNNNNNNNNNNNNNNNNNNNNNNNNNNNNNNNNNNNNNNNNNNNNNNNNNNNNNNNNNNNNNNNNNNNNNNAAGUGCCAAUAGAUUUGAUGAAGACUCAACAAACAUACAGAGAGUCCCUCCAAUAGAACGCAGACAAAUUGGAGAUGAAGAAAAUGUUCCAUNNNNNNNNNNNNNNNNNNNNNNNNNNNNNNNNNNNNNNNNNNNNNNNNNNNNNNNNNNNNNNNNNNNNNNNNNNNNNNNNNNNNNNNNNNNNNNNNNNNNNNNNNNNNNNNNNNNNNNNNNNNNNNNNNNNNNNNNNNNNNNNNNNNNNNNNNNNNNNNNNNNNNNNNNNNNNNNNNNNNNNNNNNNNNNNNNNNNNNNNNNNNNNNNNNNNNNNNNNNNNNNNNNNNNNNNNNNNNNNNNNNNNGAAAUGAAGUCCUUGCAUGAGGAUGAAACAUUUGAGCUGGUAAAGUUGCCCAAAGGCAAGAAAGCUUUGAAGAACAAGUGGGUGUUCAGGAUCAAGCAGGAAGAACACAGCUCCCAACCACGAUUCAAAGCUAGACUGGUUGUGAAAGGAUUCAAUCAAAAAAAGGGUAUUGAUUUUGAUCUUUUCACUAGUUGUGAAAAUGAAAUACAUUCGGACAGUGCUCGGAAUGGCCGCCAGUUUUGAACUGGAAAUCAAGCAAAUGGAUGGAAAGAGUACCUUCGUACAUGGAGAUUUGGAAGAAGAAAUAUACAUGGAGCAGUCAGAGGGUUUCAUAGAAACAGAGGAUUGUGUUUGCAAACUGAAGAAAAGUCUGUAUGGCUUGAAGUAGGCACUGAGACAGUGGUACAAGAAGUUUAAGUCUGUUAUGGGGGAGCAUGGCUACAAAAAGACUACUUCAGAUCAUUGUGUUUCUAUUCUCUGAUGAUGACUAUAUUGUUUUUGCUCUAUGUGGUUAAUAUGUUGAUUGUUGGUCAGAAUUCUAUCAGAAUUAAUAGCUUGAAGAAACAGCUAAGUAAGUCUUUUGCUAUGAAAAACUUGGGACCAGCAAAGCAAAUUCUUGGCAUGAAGAUUACAAGGAAUCGAAGAACCAAGAAAUUAUGGUUGUCACAGGAGAAGUACGCUGAGAAAGUACUUCAAAUGUUUAGAAUGGAAAAUGCUAAAGCGGUUAGUUGUCCUCUUACUAAUCACGUUAAAUUGAGUUCUAAAUAGUACCCUUCUACGGAUGGAGAGAAGGAAGAAAUGAAAAAAAAUUCCAUACGCUUCAGCAGUUGGAAGCUUGAUGUAUGUCAUGGUUUGUACACGGCCAGAUAUUGCUCACUCAGUUGGAGGAGUGAGUCGGUUUCUUUCAAAUCCUAGAAAGGAACAUUGGACUGCAAUGAAAUGGACUUUCAGGAUAUCCAAUCACAUUUGCAGGGGGAGCCGUGUCGUGGCAGUCAAGAUUACUGAAGCGUAUAAGGAGUUGCUGUGGAUGAAGAAAUUCUUGAAUGAACUCAGAAUUCAUCAAGAAUGAUAUCAAAUAUUUUGUGACAGUCAAAGCACAAUUCACCUUGGAAAGAAUUCCUCCUUCCAUUCUAUCACUAGAUCAAGGAUGUGUUGGAGAUGAAGCUGUUACAGCUUGAGAAGAUCCAUACAGAAGAAAAUAGAUUAGUCAUGUUGAUGAAGUUUCUUUCAAAGGAGAAGUUUGAAUACUGUCGGUUAGCUUCAGGGAUGAUGAUGGCUAACAUCUCCACUUGAGUGUGCAGGGGGAGAUUUGUUGUGUCGGUGCCCACUCAAGUGGGACCCACGCAAUUUGAAAAGAAAAAAAAGAGAGAAAAACGUGUUAUUUGAAAAAAAAAGAAAAGUUGGCAAUUCUUUUGACAAAAUGGAGAGCCGUGAAUGAAUUAUGCACGGCUCUCUCGUAACCUGCCUAUAAAUAGAGGCAGAUGCACCUCAACAACAACACACAGCAGAAAAAAAAAUUGUAGAGAGAGUGUGUCUAGUUUUAGGAAGGGUUUCCUAAAACUAGGGGAGAGAAAAAUAAUGAGGAAAUUAUUUUGGGGUGUUUUUGGGAAACACUUUGUGUGUCCCUAUUUUGUAUUACUCUCUUUGUGUACCUACUAUUUUUAAUAGUGGAAGAAUUAUUCGGAGUUUGUCCCGUGGACGUAGCCCUAAACAGUUGAGGGUGAGCCAUGUAAAUUUCUGUGUGUCACAAGUCUAUUUUUCCGCUGCGUUAAUUUUCUCUUAAUUGGUUGAAAGGACCCAAUAAGUGGUAUCAGAGCUGAUGCCCAAAAACUGUUAUCAGAGCUAAUGCCUAACAAGUGGUAUCAGAGCUGAUACCCAACAGAGAUAAGCUCGAAGAAGAAAGGAAUGUUUUAAAACCUACAUGAUUGAAUGUCUUUGCAAAAAAAUGUUUGGUUGCACCGGAAUCCUUGGUCGCGUCUAUAACGGUUAAGAGGAGAACAUUGUUUUUUGAUGAUUUAAACUUUUACUGAUGCUAGAAAGCAACGAGAAAGGAAACCGAUUUUUAUCUCACCAUUUUUUGGCUCAAAAUUUUCUUCUUUUCGUUUCACACAGGAAAUUCAUUCAAAUGGUGAAAUUGAUCAAGGGUUACGAUUUGGGAGAAUGAGAAGACGAUUAUUGUCGGACAAUAAUCGAAAAUGCGAUCAGCUACACUGGAGAUAGAGUUGCACAAUGGAGUUGAGAGAAGUUUGAAACAAUGUGUUUUGGGUUAGCCUAUUCGAUAUGUUAAUUUGACCAUGAGAGAGAUUGGUGGGUCUACAAAAGUAAUUUUUACUCGUUAAGUCGAGUAGAAUUUAAAUUUUGGGUGCUAUUGUAAUUAAUAUUCCAGUUCAAUGUACCUGAAGAAGAAAGUUAAAUUUAGAAAAGAAUUAAAACAACCUGCAAAGUUUGGGGUUAGAAAGUUAAACUUAAAAAAUAAAUAAAUAAAACAACGAGUAAAAUUGGAGUUUUUUUCAAUGAUUGGGCCUUAUAUUGAAACCUAAAUACCCAUUUUCAAAGAUCUCAAAACCAGUAUCUUUGGGAACACAAACCACAUCCUUAACAAUGUAUAGCCAUAGUCGACACAAAAUCACCUUGAAAAACCAAUUCACACAUGAUGGUGUCCAUAAUAUAAAUGCAUCCUUGUUUUCAUCAAGAAACUACUCAACCUAAUAAGCUUGUAGUUGUAGAUCAGGAGUUGACAAUAUUAUAUUUAUAAUAAUAUAAUCCUAAUUCUUUUGUAGAAAUUCUGUCGGAUUAUAUUACUAUUUAAUUUACUCUUUGAAAUUCAAUUAAUUAGUUUAAUUAACAAUUUGGUCACUUUUUUUAAGAAAUAAAUUAAAUAGUCAUUCACAUGCAUGUGCUUGUGUUUAGAAGAUAGAGUCUCCCUUUCAAAACACAUAAAUUGAUGUGCUUGUCAAAAUUUGCUUUAAUACGUAUACUAAAAUGCUAUUGAUAAUAAGAAAAAAAAUAUAUAAAUUAAUUAAUUUUUAAUUUGUCUAUUUAGAUUCAAAAUUAAUUUUAUCACAUAGUUAAGAAAAAAUUUAUUUUUGGAUAAAAUUGAACUCAUUUUUUAUUUAUCAUUGGAAAAAAUUACAUAUUUUCAUAAUAUAAUUUUUUAUUUUAAAAAGAUAACUUGUAUUUUUCAAACUAAUUAAAAUGAAAAGUUAAAUAAAUUUUGUUAUUUAUACAUAAAAAAUGUUUUUAAUUAUUCUAAAAUUUUCAAAAUAAUUUUCAACUUUAAAGUGAAAAUUAAAUAUGAAAAUCUAAAAGAGUUAAUGGCCAAGUUAAAAUUUUAUCAGAAAAAAAAACAAGAGAGAUGGUGAAAUAUAUAUUUGAGAUAUUUAUCUUUUGUCAUUAUUUAAUGAAAUAUUCUGACUAUUUUUUAUGAAUGAACUAUUUAUUUUAUAUAUAAAAUACGAAGAUCAUUUAAUUUAUUGCAAAGAAAAUAGGAAUGCACUUGUUAAUUGGGCUAGAUCUCAUGUAGUAUAGUAAUUUAUCCUUUUUUUUUUUUUUUAACAUGUGUUUGUAUACUUGGGACUUAAUUUUUCAGGUAAGGGUGUGCGAACAUGCAGUUUGAUUUUCUAAUUGAACUCAACUACAAAAACAGAAAAUCAAAUUUGAGUUUUUGUUCAAACCGAGUUGCAUAAAUCGAAUUGAACCUAGUUAAACAGUUCGAUUUUGCUUAAAAAAUAAUUUUUUUUUACUAUAAUUGAUAUCAAGAUCUAAACCGAAAUUAUAUAAGGUUAGAAAUCAAAGUCGAAACUGAAAACCAAAUAACCGAAUUAAUUCAAUUCGGCUUAAUUUGUCCGUUUUUUACUAAAAUAUCUUCACCCCCUAUUUUUAGAUAUGUUUACUUCAGAAAGUAAUUCACUUUUGUUGAUCUAACCCGCACUACCUUUGGUAGCAAUUUACCAUUUUAAUCAUUAACUAAAGGGUUAGCAAGGAUGAUGGUCCAAAUUUCCUGAAAAAAAGAAAAAAAGAAAAGAAAAAAAAGAUGGUGGUCAACUUCCAUCUUUAAAUAUUUUGGUAUAUGAAAUUCUAAUUCCACGUCCAGAAAUUAUUCAAUCUUGAUUACAGGUGUGAAUGAGAACUUAAAAAUAGUUUAUAUUUUAAAAAGUUUGCAAUCUUAUAGGCGAAUGGAUAAAAUUUUUGCUGGAAGCCAUUUUCUUAUGGGUCUGAAGAUGAAUUAGGGACACUUGUGAUAUAUAUAUAUAUAUAUAAUUAUAAUUGAUUACAUUUUAUGGAGUUGAAUUUGUUAUGGUUAUGAAUUUGCUUUUUAAUGUAUUAAGGCUUUUAUGGACCAAAAUAACACUAUAUGGGUAACCCUCUCCUUGGCUCACUCAACUGGUGACAACAAUUGUGAUUGAGAGGAUUUAAAUUCGAGACUUCUCACUCCUCACAUAAGUGAAAAGAUCAAUCAGACCACCACCUGGUUGGUUGUUAUGGUUACAAAUUUGAAGUUCAUACCUUACAUUAAAUACAUUUCAUUACUAAAAUAAUAUAUAAAAAAUACAUUUGAUUAUGUUAUAUUACAUUCCAGUACUACUCACUACAAAAAAAAACCUUGAUCUCUCAAAAGGAAAAAAAAAAAAAAAAAGACUAUAAUUUACAUAUCCCUGUCUUCUAUUCUGACUAAACAUGUGAAAAACCCUAUGCAUAAUAAGAUUACAAAUCCUUUCUUCUCUUCCCAGUAGGAAUUCAUGAAAGAAAGGAAAAAAAAAAAAAAAAAACUCCAUAAAAAAUCUUUGAAAUUAUUAAUUUUUCAUGAGGUUUGCAAUCGAGAAGUGAGAUCAAUGAAUACAUGUUCUUGACAAGGAAUCGUGAGGCCACCCAUUGGAUGAUUGAAUCCAAACUCUUCUUCAGCACGAUUAAGCAAAUCAACAAACAAAGGAUGAUUUAUAUAUGAAAUUGGAACAAUGAAACGUUUCUUCUGAUAUUCUCCAACAUAUAUUGCAAUGUGGCCUUUUGGGACAUUGGCCGAUUGAUUUCUUGUCAGAAAAUUAGUGUGUGAUCUUUUAAGAAUUUGCUUAGCACUGAAUAUUAAUUUAGAAGGCAUUUUGAAUAUGCACAUGCAAGAGCAAGACCUUGAAAAUUCAGAAACUUGGAGUCAGGUAUUUAUAGAAGCAGAUUAAUGGGAUCCCACAAGAAGGUGAUCACAUGGCUUUGCUGAAUUGGCUUAUGUUGAUACAUAUAUAGCUAGCUGUUUUGAACAGCUAUAGGGAUGGAGGAGGCCCACUUGAUUCUUGGAAAGUUAUGGUCUGAAAUAAAUAUACAUCUCAGCCUGUGUGUCCUUUCUAAUGCUUCAAAACAGGACUCCCUCAGUAACAAUGUAACAUCAUCAAUCAAACAUAUAUAAGCAUCUCACACACUCUUUCUCCCAUAUGCACACCAAUCUUAUUGUGACUAGGAUGAGAUUUAUGAAAUGGGACCUAUGUUCUAUUUUCAGUUUUUUUUCUUAAAAAAUAAUUUUAAAGCCACUUCAGUAUUUCAUAUAGGAGGUUUGGCUUGAAAUUUAUAAGAAAUAGCACAAUGUGAUUUUUUCUGUUUGUUUAGCAUAAGUGUUUUGAAGAUGUUUAGGUAAAGUUUUCCUGUACAACCUCUAACUUUAUAGAUAAAUAAAGUUUUCUCAGAGAUGUAAUUUAUUUUCGCUGAUUGAACCGCAAAUUGAUUCAACUCAUCUACUUGAGUCUUCUCAUGAUGGUGGCAACAGGACAAGGUCUAGCCAUGCAGGUAAAUUUAGGAAUUAUAUCACUGCAUACCAAGACUAACUUGGGAAAAUUAUAUAUAUAGGAAAAUUAUAUUGUUGGAUAUGUAUGGACUUUUUAAUUUGUUGAUUUUGUCAGAAUUUUUUUAAUUGUUAAGUGUUUAAAUAGAUAAACUUUUUAAUAACGAAGGACAUCAGGCUGGGAUACUACAAUGAUUGUGAUUAGCUAACAAAUUAUUGAUACAACUGGAAUAAUUUUUCAGUUUUAUUAUUUAAUGUUUGAAUUAUAAAAUAAUGUGAUUCAAGGCUUGAAUUGUAUCUGUUUUCCCAUCUGAACACAUCAGAAAGUCAUGGCAUUUGGUAGUGCAUAUCAGGUUUAUAACUUGCUAUCUAAUUAAUAAUUGUCUAAAUGUGUUUUUUUUUUUUUUUUUUUUUUUUUUUUUUUUUUUUUUUACCAAAAAAAAAAAAAAAAAAAAUUUUUUUUCUUAUUGUCUAAAUGUGUUUUUUUUUUUUUUUUUUUUUUUUUUUUUUUUUUUUUUUUGUUUAACCAAUAAAAAAAUAAAAAAAAAUUUUUGUUGCUUUUUGGCGUAGGUAUUAAACCUGAUCUGACCCGUCAGGUCAACUCGGAAAACUGGUAAAUCAACCUCACAAUCUGACCGGUUUUACUUUUAACAAUUUAAGAAAGACAACCCAAUUGAACCGAUUGACCUAUAGUUGAGCAGUCUAGCUGCCCAUAAUAGCAGUUGUCGAGCCAAAAUUAAUAAGAUUGCCUUUUGCCAUAACAGCAGUUGGGUUGGUGCUUUUUGGCAUGAAAAACUUGUGGCUUCCAUCGUCAGGGAAGGAGACAUUUGGAAUAAUUGGAGGGUUAAAGAAGAAUACAUGUAUACAAGAAAAUCAGCUUUCAAAUAUUCCUACCAAAAACCCAAUUGAGUCUUCUAGUAGAAUGCAGGUAGGUCGCAAAGUGAAAAUGAGAGGUGAUUCAAAGGAAGAAAAUUCAAGCAUUGAGAUAUGGAUUUAGGCAUUUGGGGAAGGAUAUAAAUACUUAAAUAAUACCCAAUCCAAAAUCUAAAUGACAAAAUUAAUAUCUCCUUCUAAGGUCAAAUUGCAUCAUAAUAAUUUGAAAAGGCACGUGCACCUAAUUCCAAAUAAAACCUUCCAAAAAAAAAAAAAAAAAAAGGAAAAAGGAACAUGUGAAGUUGCAUUACAAACAAGUACUUUAUAUAUGCCUCCAUUUAGGAUAGAAUGAUAUGGUAAGCACAUGACUAAUAGUUAUAUUGGUAUGGGCAAAUACAUUGAACAACAGCCUCUCUCUCUCUCUCUCUAUAUAUAUAUAUAUAUAUUCUUGGAUCUGGAAGUAACUAACUCAUCACAAUAACCAUAAACAUCAGUUAGAAGAGAUUUUUAUAGGUGGUGGUAGUAUCUAUUGUGGGACCCUUUGGAUCCUCUAGUUAGUAUAUGAUGGUAUUAUUCCUACUUCAUAAACUUGUUGGCUCCAUUUUGUUUCAUAUGCAUAUGCAAAUCAUGUAGCUAGAAGUUGUAGUAAUUUGAAUCCUAAUGGAAUAAACUAUUUAACAAUUGAGAUAACCUUUAUACUUAACUAUUUAUUAAAAAAAUAUGAUAUUUGAGGGACUAAAGACUUAAAAAUAUAUCCUUUGUCUCAUAUUGAGUUUUCUAUUUCAUUUUGGAAUGAAGAUCAAAAGAAAGUUAUUUGAAACAACUUUUGUUUUGUGGGAAAGGAAAAAUAUAAAUUGAUCCUUUAGUUAUAGUCAACUUAACAUAUGAUGACUUUUAUUUUCAAAAUCUAAUUAUAAGGCCUCUAAUUUAUAAUUUCAUUCAUAAUUUGGAUAUUUCGUGCAAAAUAGCAUCUUUUUAACUAUUAUCUAUAUGAUGACUUCUAUGUAGUAGCAAGUCUUGUGCAAGAACUAAUUAACUACUUGCUCCAACAUUUUCCUGUAGAUAAUAGUUAGAAUAAAUAGUUAAGGGUCCACAAAGAAACAAUAACCAUAUAUUACCAACCCUACAUGUUUCAUUAACCCAAAUAAAAACCCUAAACAGAAACUAUAUAUUAUAAGAACAAAGCUUGUGGUAUGCUAAGCUUGGUUACUACAUGUACAAGCAAAUCCUUGUGAUGCUGUUCUUCAAUGCAGGCAAUACACAGUACAUUGGAUGAGUCUUUGUCUCAAUAUGAACACAUUAAUGUCUUCUGACUUCAGCCUGAAUCGAAUGGAGUCAAUCUUUUAUGAUUUUCAAAAAGUAGGUGCUAAGCUUGUUUUAUUGCAGUUAAUGAAGGCUUCUUGGAGUUGAUAAGUAAAUAUGCUUACUUCCUUCAUUAGUCAAGGAUUUAAAUUAUGAUGUAUUUUAUUUAUUUUUUUAUAAAUUUUCUAAUUUAAUAUAAAUCCUUUAGCUUUAAUUGGGUAGAGGAAUGGGUUGAGUAUAAGUUGUGAAGAUUAACCUGUAAUACAAUCUUACCCAGGGGCAGACCUAUUCGUAGCUGCCAUAAAAAAAAGGAUUUAUGUGUACAGAAAUUAUUGUAGAAUAAUUUAAUAAUGGUUUGAGAAGUACAUGAAUCAAAAUAAAAAGUCAAUUCUAGAUAUUAGUCAUGUUUAGCAGUAAUUUUUGACAUAACUUUUAGUGUUUUGACUUUUUUUAUUAUUUAUAGUGUUCGGUCAUAGCAUUAAUACUAGUAUAUAGUGUUUGAUAGAGUGAAUUAUAGAAAGUUACUCAUUUUAAUAUUUGAUGAAAUAUUAAUAAAAUAACUGACAGUUACUAAAACAAUUAACAACUUUUAAAAUAAUUAAUUUUGCCUCCUAUUAUCCUAAAAAUAAAAAAAUUAAAUGCUAAAAUCCAUUGUUUGUUGCAAAUGAUUCCUUAGCCUAAUAUCAAGGAGUGAUGCCCUAGGAUCAAAAGGUGUUAGGUCCUAUUCCCCCUCCCAAUUUUCAAUAAUAAAGUAUUUUGUACCCAUUAUGGUUUGCCCUCAAUGGGCUUGGACCGACCAUUAACUUGUAGUGAGUCGAUGUAUUGAGUUUAAGUCUACUAUAAUUAUAGCAGUGUAAUAUAUAUAGCUCCGUCCAUAGUAUCUCUAGCAAAAAAAAAAAAAAAAAGGUUUCAUUGUUUGUUUCAGUAAAAUGUCCAUUAUAUUUGCUUUCUUUUUUUUUUUUCAAUUUUUAAAAAUUAUUUUUUUAUUAAAUUUCUUUUUUGAAAAUGUACAGGAUAGAAUUGGUGUGCUAGUUUGGGCUUGAAAUUAGAAACUCUAAUUGAAAUUGCAUAUCCUUUUAUUAUGGGUUAACAAUUCUUGUCGUAAGAUAUCCAAUGGACUUUACGGCUUUGGAAUGUGGUUUAGGAUUGUGUUUAUUAUGUAAGAUAUUUUUGUUAAUCAAAGAGAUGAUAUUCAUACCUAGGACUUAAGGUUCAAUUGGCAAUGUACCAGGUCACUUAGAAAGAAUUCUUAGAUUUUAUCGCCACUAAACACACUUGCAGAAAGAGGCGAAGAGCGGAGUUUGAUAUAAAACUGAUUGUUUAUACCGAACAAAAAAAGAGAUAAUAUUCAUAUCUUAGAGCUAGUCCAUAUCAGCUAAUAAGAUCCAGUUUUAACAUCAAAAUCAUCGUCUUCAAGUUAAUGCUUCUUAGUUUGAUGAACAUCCUACUUAAUGGAGUAUCCAUCCAAAAAAACAAAUUUUGCAUAUUGCUUGUACUUGUAGUACUAUCUUUUAUUUGGUUUAUUAGAAAUGCCUUUUCUUCCUUUGUAGCUCCUUUUAUAGGACAAGCAUUGAGCAAAUAGAAUUGCCGAAGCUUAUAAAAAGCUGUAGUGUCGAAUAUAAUUAAUUAUACUAAUUAAACCAAUAAUUAUCUUUCUACCAAAAAUGAAAGAUAAUACAAAACUGAGAUCAGACACUGAAAUUUGUUUCAGUACAUAUACAAAACUCUUCCUCUUUAUGACGAUGCAAGUAAAUUAGAAGUUAGAUCAAGGAAGGCAUCUUCUUUGCAAGGAAUUGUAAGCCCACCCAUUGGAUGAUCAAAGCCAAACUCUUCCUCAGCUCGUUUAAGUAAAUCUUGAAAAGAAGGGUGACGUAAGUAAGAUAUUGGUACUACAAAUCGCUUCUUCUGCUGCUCUCCAACGUAAACAGCAAGGUGUCCUCUUGGCACCUCCGAUUGAUCAUUUCUUGAAAGAACAUAUUUCCCUUGAAGUAUUUGCUUUACACUAGGAAACAUUGAUCGCAAGCGAAUACCCAUUAUUUAGAUGGUCAAAAAGAUGAAAACUUUAAUCCAAGUCUUUCGAAUAGUGAGAGGAAGUUGGGUUUUUUGGAUUUGGCUAUUGUGUUGGUUUGUAUUUAUAGGGUUUUAGAGGUUUGUGGAGUGGAGUGCCAUACUUACCAGUUGGGAAAGCGGUGGGGGGUAUUGUCGUCAGCAGAUUGGCUGUUAGCUUGUUAGGAUUUGUGCACAUGGGCUAUGUUUUAAGUCUAGAAUUAAUGUUAUCUCCAAAACAGAUGGCCGUACACAGGUAGCUGGAUCAAGUGACGGCCAACAAUUACUGCAUGUGGAGAUACUAGUAUAUCAUAAGAGAUCAAAUAGAGUGUAAACGAGUUGAACAGGUUUGCAAGUUGCUGAAUCUCAACUUUAAAAAAGUUUAAAAAAAUUAGAUUUGAAUGAGCUUGAAAUAUCAUUUAGCUUUAUCAAUCUAUUUUAGGCUUUAUGAACCUUGAGCCAAACUAGAUUUUACAAGUUAAACUUAAACCUCAAGUCAAGUUCAAAUUCAACUAAAUUCUAUCAAGUCCAGCUUCAUGCAAAUAGGUUUGAGCUUGGCUGAUUUACAUUCCUUGAGGCGAUCAAUUACUCAGCAUGUGGAGAUUGCUAAUUACUACAAUACCACAACUACAAGUGAAACCGUCAAUCUAGCUGGGGUUUGGACAUAGGUGUUAUGAUAUUGGGUUUCAUAAAUUAUAAUAUCUUAAAUCAAUGUUUUGUUGCAGCAAAUGUUAUGUUACAUAUAUUUUGUUAGUACCAUUUUUCUGGGGCAAUAAUUCAAGCACAUGCAUUACUGUUUAGAUUAUUACUAACCCUCAAAAUGCCUACAUGUAUAUACAUAUAUAGUUGCUAUUUACUCUGAGUUCCAAUUAUAAUAAUUACGGUUCUCAUGCAUGUACCUGCAAUAUUGACUCCUAGGUGAUAAUAAUGGGAUAAGCAGAUGCACGUGCGUUUUGAUAUGCUGAUGUCAAGAUUGAGAGAUAGACAUAGACUUGUAAAAUUCCUUAUCAAGAUUCAAGAAUCAAGAUAUAUGUAUAUAUAUAUAUUAUCAAGUUCAGAGUUUUAGAAAUUCUGCAGCUAGAUGUGCGAUGGUUUUCCGGAUCUAGCAGCCAAUAAAAUCAGCAAGUUGGCGCCAAGAAAAUGCUAAAAAGCCCAUAGAGUCUAGAAGAAUUUUAUUAUAUUUGUGACCAGUUAGUUUAUAUUCUAUUUUUAGCAGUGUUUUGAUAAUUUCCUAUUGUGGGACCUUACACACCCAAGUUGGGUCGUGAAGGACAAAGUACAAGUUGCUUGCUGCCGUGCAACGAUCAAUGUCCUAAGUUAUCUUAUCAUUUUUCUUUAGGAGAAAAAAGAAGAAAAAAUAUCCACUAACUGCGUAGAUAUACCUCUGUGCUUGUAUAUUUUGUGUAUAUAUAUAUAUAUAUAUAUAUAUAUAUAUAUAUAUAUAUAUAUAUAUAUAUAUAUAUAUAUAUAUAUAUAUAUAUAUAUAUAUAUAUAUAUAUAUAUAUAUAUAUAUAUAUAUAUAUAUAUAUAUAUAUAUGUAUUUUUAGCCCCCCCCCCCCCCCAAAAAAAAAAAAAAAAAAAAAAAUCAUAUUUAGCUUUCUUGAAUUCACAGUCAUCAAAUUAAAACUUUUUGUUUCCAUGCACACAGGAUAUAUAUGUCUUAUGAUCUUAUCCUUGAUAUAGUACGUAGUCAAUGUUAAAGGUUAAUUGAAAACAAGAAUAGCGGUGUCAUUGGAAUAUGGGUAGUAUUAAGGAGUUAUCAACACAAAGUCUAAAACAUCAAUAUUUGCAACAACCAUCCGGUUCCCAAUUCCCAAAGGCAUUUUGUGAUUUAUGUUGGACAGAAAUAGAAGAAGCAAUUUGAAGUUCCAACUUCCUUUUGAAGCAUCCAUUUCAGAAAUUGUCAUGUCAACCUGAAGAAGAUUUGGGUUUCAAUGAUCUAAUUUUUGGUCUCACAAUUCCAUGUCCUAAGCAUGAUUUUGUCAUUGUCAUUUCUCAUCCAAACACUUCUUAUAGUUGACUUACUCUUUAAUUUGUGUUUUUUUUUUUUAUGCUUUCUUAAUUUGAUUUACUUUUUUUUUUGUUCAUAAAUGUUCAUUUUAUAGAUUUUGAUGAUGAUAAUAAUAAUAAUAGCAACUUUAUUUUUGGCCUGAUAAAAAGUAAAUUAUAAUAAUACCAAAUUUAUCAUAUGGUACUUUCAAAAGUAAGCUUUAUGAAUUUCUUUUAUUCACGUUUCCAUUUGACAUCUAUUUUAAUGAUAAAUCACAUUUCGUUUGCAAUGAAAUUUAUGUAUUUAUUUAUUUAUUCGAUAGGAGGUUUAAUGAGCUAAAAAAAUAUAUUGGACUAUACAAAAAGUGGUAAUCAUUUCCCUCACUUACCAAAUUGGUAAAAAUUAUUGUAAAGGAGAGGUCUCAAAGUUGAGAUUUUAUUUCUUAUAUAAGUGAAAAGAAUAAUUAUACCACUUAGUUAUGAAAUUUAUUUUAAAAUAAUAAUCUAUUCAAGUAUUAAAAUUUGUGUUUUAAAAAAUUGUUUAAUAAAAAAAAUUAUGUCAUAUUUGAGAUGUUAGGAUAUUUUUACAGAUUAUUUUUUCUCUACCAAAUAUGAUUAUGGAGUUUCAAUUUAACCCUAAUUUUAAUUAAUUAAACAAAGAUUUAAAUAUUUUAAUUAAUAGAUAAAGAAAGAAUUUGAAAUUCACUCGAGAUGCGACUGCUGUUACUGUUAUGAACAACAAGAGUUUAGGAUAUAUGUAUAUUCUUUUUCUUGAAGAUGGGUCUCGUACGUCAAAAAGAAGCUUAAAAUUGAAGAAAAUGAUAUUUUUUUUUGACUUUAUUGACACUAAAAUCAUGGACCCAUAAUUUUUAAUUAGACAAGUAGACUAUUACUCUUCAAACGAACCGACUUUAUAUUUCACCAGGAAGGCAGGAACCGAUCUAAACAAUUAAAAACCGAUCAAAUUGGUCAAAACCACUAAUUUUGGUUUCAAAUUCCGUUUUCUAGAAACAACAAAAUAUUAUGGCCAGUAUUUAAUUGAAAAGCAGCGUCGACCAUAAUCAAAAUCUAGAUCCGACCGGCCUAGUCAAUCUGAUUCGGCUUUUACUAGCCACAAGACUAGAGAUAAAAAUAGCGCGAAUACCCGAAAAUUUUGAACUAUCAGUAUCCGCAUCUUUUUAAAAUUUUAUCCGUCUCAAACCCAAUGGAUAGACAUCCAUAAAUUAUAAAUUAUCACAAUCCAAAUUCGUUUAAUAAAUAUAUAUUUUUAUUAAAAAAUGGAUAGGGUAUAUAUAGAUACCCAUAUUCAAAUCGUUUAUUAUAACGGGUAUACAGAGUCUUAUACCCAUACCUUAAUAUAUCCAUUGCAAGUAAUAAUUUCAUUAUUUAUAUUUAUCUCAAACUCACGUAUAACUAUUUUAUUUUAGUUGAACGGAUUGGAGCGGAAUGGUAAUCUAAAUACCUGUCCCAUUUCCAUUUCUACACAAGAAUAGAAUCGUUGGCCCGCCACUGACUAUAGAUUCAGCCCAAAUUUAAAUUUCAAAACAUGUGCUACCUACCUAUUGGACUGUGCUUCUGGCAAGCGGUAUCUAUAUCAUGUGUUAAGAAGCAUAUAUAUUCUUUAAUUCAAAAAUACUUGGCACAUGUACUUACCUUCAUCAACAUCACCCAUAUACUAAAUAAAUAGUUAAUAUUAUUUGAAAAUAAAAUUUCAUAAUUUAUUUAUUAUUUUAUAUUUUUCCCUGCCUUAUCGUACCAAAUACUUUUGUUGAAUUAACUUGAUAUAUGGGUGACAUAUACGCUAAAUGUAGUAGAACGCAUGAGAAAUUUAAACACUAACAGUGUACAACUUUUAAAUUUUCUAAUGUAUAAAAACUACUUACUGUCCAGAAUUACAAAUUUCAAUGUCGUAGUUGAUCAAUUAGAUAUAACAACCUUAAAUAUCAAAAUAUGUAAAACAAUGUUUACAAAAUAAAUGUUUUCUGCUCCAUUUUUGUGUCAAUAACCUGAUCAUAAGCCAGCCGACGUACUUCAGAUUAUGAAAUCAUACGCCAAAAUAUUUGCGUGUACGCGGACACACACACACAAGAAGGUAAAAGAUUAUAUAUAUGCUUGGUAAAAGUUUGAAUUUUUAUAGUAAUAAAAAACAAGUUCUUAUCAAAAAUUCUACAACAGAAACAAUUGAUAAUUUACAAAUCAUAUAUAACAUCUAAAUGAAACUGAACUAAUUAAUUUAUCCAAGAAGAAUAAGAUGAAGAAAAACAAAAAAUGAGACAGACUUAGUCGUCUCAAAUUGUUUGUUUAUGAACUUAAAACUGAAGUUAGAGUAAUGAAAUACUCUUCAGUGCAAGGUAACGUAAGACCGCCCAUUGGAUGAUCAAAUCCAAACUCUUCUUCUGCUUUAUGAAGCAAAUCCAAGAACAAAGGAUGGUUCAAAAACGAUAUUGGAAUUACAAAUCUCUUUCUAUACCCAUCUCCAACGUAAACAGCAAUGUGGCCUUUAGGAACACUAUUACUACUAGUAGCCAAAACGCUUGCGAUUUUCGCUGAAAGACUGCGUUGAAGCUUUUGUUUGGCAUGAGCUAUCCCCAUCAGUUGAAUACCCAUUUCAGGAAAAUGAUAAGUCUAGCUAAUUUUGUUUGGAAUGAUUUACUUUGGCUUGAAAUGUAUGUCUCUGUUACUUGGGUAUAUAUAGGAGCUUCUAAACCUAGCUGCUAUAAAGAAAUGGAUAUGUGAUAUGAAGGUGAGAAUGAGAUGGUGAAUAUUGAGAGGUUAUUGAAGAAUAUUAAGGAACACAUCAGGUGAAGGACUUGUUGAACUUUCACAUGGUAUGCUUUGUUUGUUACUAGACAUAACAUGCCCUACCACCUUUAAGACCAAAAGAGAGGUGCAAAUGUGUGUGUGUGUAUAUAUAUAAAUAUUUCUAUAUUUGUAGUUCUGUAGUAUAAAAAAGAAGCCAAACACGGCCCAAACCGUAUCCACCACAGGCUCCGUCCUGACAGCUAGCAGUGCGCUCUCUUUCUCUCUUGCUUUAUAAAUGGAUAUACAGUAGGAGUUUUUUUUUUUUUUUUUUUUUUUUUUAAAUGGAACAGGAUUGGCCUGUUCAUCUGGUUAAAACGCAAAUUAGCUGCUAUCUAUUACAAAGGACGAAGCUAGGUGUAGGGUAACAUGGGUAACUGUACCCCUUCUCUUUAAAAAAAAAAAAAAAAAAGAAAAAAGUUAAAAUUGUUGUACAAAUUCAAGGUGUGAGAACCUUGUUUUUGGUUAUUUUCAAAGCACUCAUGCCAUUUUUGACCCCCUUAACUUGUGUGCCAUACGAUUUGCUCCCUUCUAUUUAAAUUUUGGUUUUAUCCUGUUAAUACGGGUAGCUUUUAUAAAAGAUUUAUAAAAUACUUCAACUCUUGAAGUAGAUGCUACAUAAUUGGUUCUCCUCUUUCAAAUUAUAUAAAUAAGGAUCAUGCUAAAAUGAUCAUUUUAUAGAUACCGAAAAUAAACUAAAUCAAACAGUUCUAUUUCAAUUUGAUUUAAUGAAAUUUAGAGCUUAGUAUGAAUUUAAAGUCAAUGGGAAAAAUCUUUAAAUAUCUAAAUUAAAAUAGACAAAUGGUUCAAGCGUAGAAGUGAAGUCUAAAAAUUUUGGCUUUGAUAGCAAAACAUACAAUACAAGCAAAUUUUUAGAUUUUUUUCAAUAAUAUAAUUUUUUUUUUUCAAAAAGUUACUUGAACGUAUAUAUAUUUUUUUAAGUUCAAUUCAGUUGGUCAAGUCAUGAUUCAGUGAGUCACCGAUCCGAUUUAAUUUCAAAAAUAAUAAUAUAUAGGUAUACACAAACAUACAGUGGAAGGUACUGAUCUAAUCUAAUCAAUGAAAACCAAAUUGACUCGUUGACGCGUGCAAACAUGCUUUUGCAUAAAAAGAGUUGUCUCAAUCGAAAUUGUUUUGCCUGUUAUUCAUACGUACUGAAGCAUUGAACUUAGACUGCUAGUGUUAUCUGUGGGCUGCUAUGCAGCCAACAACUACCCUACUAUAGUCCCCAGUUGCUGGAUGAGUUCUGUGUCCCUACUCUUUUUUUUUUUUUGGUUUAAAUUAGCAUAUGUCACGUAUAUUAAUUGGUGGCUGCAGAUUAAACCGUGAACCACCUACUUUUACGUAUUCCAAACGGUUUUAUUUAGAAAACGUUUCUUGAAAUUUCUUUUUCCUUUCUGAAAUCAUAUGAAUCGUUGUGGUUCAAAAAUUUGGUCCCGUGAUUAAGAAAAUAAUUAAAUUAUAUAACUUCUUUAUUAAUCUGCCAGUGGAAAAGAGGAAGGCGGUAAUAUGAGUUUAAAGAAAUUAGAAAAAAUAAUUAAUGUAUUAAAUAAAAAUAAAGGUAAAUUUUUUUAAAAAAUAAUUAAUAGUAUUUUUUUUAAUCUUUUAAAAUGAGAGAUAAAAGCGCAUGAUAUCAUAAUUAAUUAAUAGUAGCACUACUCAUUUUUAUUUCUAAAUGUUUUUUUCGUCAUAUUUCUAACUACAAGUUUCAGAGAUGAUAUCAUAAUUAAUUAAUUAAUGUCAUAACGUUUUGACUUAGACUUGCUGAAUAUUAAUGGUUUUAUUAAUAACAAAACGAGUAGCUGACUAAACCAUGGUUGAUAAAAAUUAUUCAAAAAUUUUUUUGUUUAUUUUAUUUAUAAGAGGUUGAUUUAAUAAUUUUUAGUACUUCCUCAAUCCCUUAUAAAUAUUAGUGAUUUAAUAUUUUUCUAUCGUGAUUAAAGAAGUGCUUAAUUUUUCUAUGGAGUCAUAAAAUAUUUAUUAAUUUGAUUAAAUUACUAUUUAUUUCACAUUAUUAAUAGUUAAUGUAUUUAAUAUAUAUUACGUGUGUUCCAUACUACUUGUCACAUUUAAAAUUUCACGUACUUUUAAGAAAAUAAUUAAAUUUGUCUAAAUUAAAAUAAAUUAUUGAGUAAAUCGACUAUAUUAUAUACCUUUAAUUCAAUGCUCCUAUAUCUAAACAUCAAAGAAUUAUUGGUCAUAUACAAGCGUAAACAUGGAAAAAAAAAUUUAUUACUCUUUGAAACUAUAAAUGUGAUAAGUACUCUCUCUGUCCUAAAAUAUAAAUCAUUUAAAAUUUUUGCACAGCAAUUAAGAAAUCAAUUAAUUCUCCUAGAUUAAAAUAAACCCAAGGGUAAUUUGACCAAAUUAUCUUUUAUUUCAAAACCAGUAGUUACUUGUGAAAGUAUUUAUUGUAUCUAAUAUAAACAAGGGUAAUAUUAAAAAAAUAUCAGUUAUUACUCCUUAAAAUACUCAAAAUGAUUUAUAUAACGACUUAUAUUUUGAACCAGAAGAAGUAUUUCAGAAUAAAUUAUUUUUUAAAUGUGACGAGUGUUAUGGAAUUGAUAUAGUAUAAUGGAAAGAUCGAAAAAAUUUCAUUAAUUAUUUAAAAAGAUUUAUAUUAAUGACACAGAAUUUUGACAUGCAUGCAUUCCUGCUUACACUAUUAAUUUCUUAGUCAUAAAUGCUAUAUAUAUUGUUUAACAAUAAGUCAUUAAAGACUACUUGAGGUCAACGUAACCAUAGUUGCACAUUAAUUGAGUUUGUUGCAAGAUUUGAAUGAAAGAAUUUGUGGCAUUAUUUUUUUUUAAAAAAAUAUAUCUUUUUAUCACAUUUUUAUACAUAUAGAAAGAAUCAGUACUGAAGAAUUAAACAAUUAAAAAACUUUAUAUAUAUUUGGAUAAUGUCACAUUAUCAAAGAAAAUUAUCACCAUUUCUUUAGAGCGUUAGAAUUGGCAAUAAAUAUCAAUUAAAGGUGCAAGUCCGGCAUGGAUUAUGGUUUGUUUUGGCAAAAUUAUUUAUUUUUUAGCUGUCUUAAAAAUGUCAUGUUGUAUAUGCAUUUAUCAUUAGGUUAUACCUUAGUGUGCUAAAAUUGUCAGUUAUUUUAUUAGUGUUUCACUAAAUAUUACAAGGAAUAAUAUUGAAUAGUCAGUUCAUUCAAAUUCUAAACACUAAUAUAAAUAUAUGUCAUUGAUCACUAUAAAAUAUAGAUAUAGUGUUUUAAUCUAGUUAGCUUUGUUCGGCAAUAAUGUUUAUUAUGUUGACAUAGUCAACUUAUUAUUUGGUAUUCGGCGGCGUAAUAUUUAUACUGGUAUUUAGAAUUUGAAGAAAUGGAUUAUAAAACAUUACUCCAUUCAACAUUAGAUGAAAUGUUGAUAAAACAACUAUAUAAAUAACUAAUUUUGUCAAGAUAACUCUAGUCAAAGUACCAAAUGCUACCCAAAAAUUACGUAUUAUGCUUCUAGCUAGAUCGGUCAAAUGUCACUAAGAGUUACUGCACUACAAAAAAAACGUUAUUUUGCGACCGAUAAAUCGGUCACAAAAUGGCACAUAUCGGUCGCUAAUUUCACUUAGCGACCGACAGAUAUCGGUCACAAACUACCUGGUUGCAAAAGUUUUUUGCGACUGACGAAGUCAUCGGUCGCAAAUGAGCGACCGAUAUAAUCGGUCUCAAAUUUGAAUAAUCGGUCGCAAUUUUUGGUCGUGGUUGAUUUGGAAACUCUGUCGUAAAUUUGGUCGCAGAAAAAUCUGUCGCAAUUUUUAAAAUAGGUCGCAAAUCGGUCGCAAAAAAUAAAUUUAAAAUUUUAUUUUUUGGUAUCAAAUAGGUCGUAAAUCGGUCGCAAAAGUGAAAAAAAAAAUUAAAUAUUAUUAUAAAACCAUAAUUUUUCCGCACCUGUGAAAAUUGACAUAUAUACAUAUAUAUCACACACGCAAUUCAAGAACAAUAUAAAAAUGUAAUUUUUAUUGUACUGAACAAAAUAUCAAAAUACAAAUGAAAAACUAAAAAGGACUAAAAUCAAAUCUACGUUGCUGCUCAUCUGCAGGAUUCGAUGUCAGAUCUCCCGAUGUCGGAUCGCCGGGAGGAGUACCUGCUGGAUGUGAUGUAGCACCAGGAGGGGUGACCAAGGUAUCGUCUGCAGCAUCGGGAUCAGGAGCCGGUAGUGGCUGCUGCUGAGACGUCGAAACAUUUCGGUCUGCAGCAGGCGCAAGAUCAGAGGAAGAAGUACUAUCACCGGGCUCACCGGACAGCCGCAUCACAUGCGCUCUAAGCUCUGCAAUCUGUCUCUGCUGAUCAAUUCUAGGACAAGUUCAAUGCAAGAGAACACAAGUUCAAUUCUAGGACAAAGCACUUUGCUGGGCAGCAAACUCUUUUGAUUGACUGACUGCAUUUGGCCAUAGUUUGCUUCUUGAUACAUCCUCCCUGAUUUCUCCUCCACUAAACCUCUCUCGUAUUAUCCAGAAUGAUUACCUUGGUGUCUUUAUUGUUAAAAAAAAAAAAAAAAGAAUCAAAUUUUCAAAUGAAUGCCACGUUAAGAAGAUAGUUAAUUCAGACAAAACUAAAUAGUUGAUAACUCAAUAUUCAUUGUCGGAUUCAAGGUAUAUAGUAACCAAAAAACUUCAGGCCAGCUGUAAGAAACUCAAACAACUACUUACGUAUCUCCUUAAAACUUGGAAAUGUAGGAUAAAGCUACUUAACAGAAUAAGGAAUUAAAGAACAGGAAGGAAAAGUGAGAUGUAGAGCACAAUUUUGUCCCAUCUAUAUAAAUGAGUUUAUAAGAGAGGAACUUAAUACAAGGAAUCCAUACAGAUGUGCAUUUUGUGGGGUACUAAAGUACUACAGAUGCAUGAAUCUGCCUUCAACGUUAAUUUCGGAAUUAGGGUUUGAUUUUCUUUGAGGGAAGCACGUAAAAUAUCUUUGAUUUUAGGUGUUUUUGUGAAUUAAGGGGCCACUUUGAAUCUGUAGUGUUAAGAGACAAAGAAAUGUGUAGAAACAACAUGUCCAUCGAUUGAAUGUGCUAUCCAAAAUUGUUAAUGGACAUUCAAUUUUAUGUCUGUUGGUGAAACGAUGUUGUCUUUGAAGAUAACUUCAUCUACCUACAGGUUUUGUUCCGCGUGGAAAGAAAACAGGAUGGUAAAGUGUUGUUUUCUGAAAAUGUGUGAUGUUUGGGAUUAAGACGGUUUUGGAUAAUUUGAAUGAGUGUAGGUGGGAACAAAACAUAGCUAUGCAAAUUAAAUACGUAAUGACAUCUAUGGGAAAUAUCAUGAAGUGGGUUACAAUAAGAACAAAUAGGAAAGGCUGUGUUCUAAUAUACACUAUUUUAUUCAUAAAAAAGACAGGUGUAAUUAGGACGUGUAAUACCCACAUUUAUAAUUUUAUGGCCUUUUCCUUUCUCUUAUUUAUCCGAUGUGUAUAUAGCAGGAGUUGAAUUGUUAGCUCCAAUAACACUUUAUUAUGGAGUUAGCCUUUAUAUAGUAAAAUCAUGAUUCCAUACAGGAUGAUUAUAUGAAAUCACAAACCAAUUAUAGAAUACAAUUGUUUGAAAUCCAUUUUUUGAAACUCAAAAGAAGUAACUGCAAUAGAGAGAAAAAAAUUACAAAAUCUAUAGGACCCAUGUACAAUCUGUUUGUCUAUUAUUAGUCUGAAAUUUUAUCGUAUAAGUUUUCUUUUGUCACGAGUCUAUUACUAUUUUCUAAAAAUAUAACCGACAGGAAAACCGUUUCUUUGCCUGUCCAAGGUUUCUUUUAUCUCCAUGAUAUAUAUAUAUAUAUAUAUAUANNNNNNNNNNNNNNNNNNNNNNNNNNNNNNNNNNNNNNNNNNNNNNNNNNNNNNNNNNNNNNNNNNNNNNNNNNNNNNNNNNNNNNNNNNNNNNNNNNNNNNNNNNNNNNNNNNNNNNNNNNNNNNNNNNNNNNNNNNNNNNNNNNNNNNNNNNNNNNNNNNNNNNNNNNNNNNNNNNNNNNNNNNNNNNNNNNNNNNNNNNNNNNNNNNNNNNNNNNNNNNNNNNNNNNNNNNNNNNNNNNNNNNNNNNNNNNNNNNNNNNNNNNNNNNNNNNNNNNNNNNNNNNNNNNNNNNNNNNNNNNNNNNNNNNNNNNNNNNNNNNNNNNNNNNNNNNNNNNNNNNNNNNNNNNNNNNNNNNNNNNNNNNNNNNNNNNNNNNNNNNNNNNNNNNNNNNNNNNNNNNNNNNNNNAUAUAUAUAUAUAUAUAUAUAUAUAUAUAUAUUAUAGAAGCAGCCCCUGGAAUCUACAGGGCUAAGUGUUGCACCAUAAUAGUGGUAUCCAAAAACUCGUAGGAAUCACCUCUAAAAUUUGUAUGUAAUGUAUUUUUUUUAUCAGCAAAUAUAAAUUAAUUAUUAUUAGAAAAUAGCUGAAGCAAAUAGGAAAAACUCCCAUAAUCCAGGAUUCUACUCCCAAGCCAGCAAGCUUUCUCCAAUACACCUUUAAAACCUAGACCUGAAAAAGAGGAGAAAAGCCUAUUGCAUAUAUAAAAAUAAAACCGCAACCUGAAAAUAACUAAAAAGAGGCAGAGAUAGAGAAUUAAAAUUAAUUCGGCUUCUUUUCAUGAGUGAGGAAAAGAAGCAACAAGGGAAAAUAAAACUCUUUCAAUCAAUUAUCUCAAGAGCUAGUAAAUGAGAUUAAAGCCAAGCUAAAAAAGGAUUCACCUGAUCAACUACUUUCUUUGCUAAGGUAUCGGCAAAUAAGUUUUUAGAUCUGUUUGCAUGGAUGCAAAACACAUAUGAUAAAGAAGACACGAUGGAAUCCAGCUUAUUGAAAUUUAUCCACUAUGGCAAGGUCUUGAAAGUUUAUUUGUGGCCCAUAAAACAACAUUUUUUGAAUCUGAUUUAAUAAUUAAAGAGAUAGAGUUGUAUUAAGAAGAGACAUAAAUCUCCAAUGCUUGUAUAAGUGCAAGCAUUUCAGCUUGAUUUGAAUCCAUGACACCAGUACUUUUGUAGAAAAUGCAAAGAACAAUGCCGUUUGAAUCCCUUCAGACGCCUCCGAUACUCACUAGACCUAAUUUUCCUUUCAACGAACCAUCUACGUUGAAUUUUUAUGUAAUGUAUGAUUUAGACUGGCGGUGGACUAAUAUCUAGACUAUGGAAUCUAGCCCAACAUUAAUAACAUCUCUUACAGGGAUUUAAGUGGAAAAAAGAAACUUGAUGUACAGAUUGAGAUUGUUAUUGUUUAAGUAGUAGAUUUUUGGGCAAAAGAUUAAGGUUUAUCAUGUUACCUUAUUGGACAUAUAUUUCUAAUUUUACAUAUACCAGUUUUUGACAACUUGCAUUUGCACGUCAAUACUCAUUAUAGUUACUCGUUUUUUGUUUAAAUAUAAUUCGUUGAUUUUUUUGUGAUAUAAUAAAAAUGAUAAUAAGUUAUUGAGAAAAAAGAUAAAUAUAAAAAUGAUUUUUUUAGUGUGAAGAUUAUGAAUGUAAACAAAAUGAAUGAGUGUUAUAAAAAAAAGUAAUGAAACAGUAAAUAUUUAUAUUCUCAUAGUGAGAGAUAAUAAAUAUUUCAUAAUAAAAAUUAUUGGAUAUCAACUCACAAUCUCUUAAAGAGAUACUAUGAAAUUUUUUCAAAUAAAAUAUUUCAAACUAUAUCAAAUUGGUUAGAAGAGAAAUUUCAAUAAUACUUAAUUCUUAUGAUGAUGAUGAUGAAAGAAAAUGGUGCGUGCAUGGCCACAUGGUUAAUAGCUUCAGUAGUUGUGGUCGAGGAUAUUGCUCAAAAAAAAAAAAAAAAAAAAGUUGGAAAAAAAAAAAAAAUCAAAUGAAAGAGAGCUAGAUGCUUCCAUUCAACCCAUCAUUCUUUCAAUAAGUAGCCCCAUCUUCAUAUGAUCAUCACUUUCAUAUGUUGUGGUUUUCAAAAGGUCAAGACAGAAAUGAGUGCCACUUUCUCUUUUGCUUGGUUCAAAACUUCAACAAAGAACGUGCAAUGGCGAUUUAUGACAUAUCAAUAGCUAGCCAAAAGAAUAUAUACGAUCGAAGAUUUUAUUCGUACGUUGCACACUUGUUAAUUUCUAUCUAGCCUUUCAAAUAAUAAUUUCAGCUAAGGGCAGAAGUACUACUUUGAAUUUCUUAAAGUGGUAGGCCAUGUUAAUUUCUCAAGUUAUACAAUGAAGAAUUGUCCUUUAAAAUCUUAUCUUUAUUUUAGUAACAUAGCCAUGUGAAUGAUUGGGACAUGUGUCCUUAACCCUUUCCCAUUAUUUCAAGUCUUUCCAUCUCAUAAUGUUUGAAAGAGUUCUUGUUCUAUAUGUAUAUAUAAUGUAAACACCUAACUCAAGAAUAUAGCAAUUCAUUGCCAUAAUGCUAUAAAUAUUAUAAAAAGACAAUUUAUAUCUUGCCAUCAAAUGUUUUCCAAAGUUUUUUUUCUUCUUACGUUAAUUUGGCUUACUAGGAUUUUGAACCUGCAACUUUACUAUUCUAAGUAAACUCAUUGAUGGAUAUUUGUUUGCUUCGAGUGAAAUUAUAUACCCCAUUAUUUUGUCUAAAAUCCCCAUGUACAUAUUAAUUUGAUGGACAAGGGGCUUCAAAUACUAAAUGAUUAAAAAGAAAAAAGUCUAAUAUACCCGUUGAUGCUAUUUCUUUUACCUCCAGAUCUCUUUAUUAGAGGAACGCAACUUUCUUGACAGAGCUCUUGAGGAGUUGCAUAAGAAAGAGUAAAAAAUUGUAACUGUACAAUGUAAAUUGGUGGUUGCUUGGCUAACCUUAACAAACUAUUAGCAGAUGCCUGAUAUUUACUAGCAUGAUAUGGAUUCAGGUUGACAUAUUGGCAAACAAGUAACAACAGGUUUCUCUACUGGUGAAGCUUGGUCGCCUUGAAGAGGGUUCUGAAUUAUACAGGGUGUUACUAGCCAUGAAUCCUGACACUUUCACAGGUAAUUUUGUAAUCUUUCUCAAUGUGGAAAGUAAAUACCUUACAUGAAAAUUCAGGGUUAAUAGACUGCAGAAAUAGACAUUUUCUGGAUGAUAAUGUCUUCUUCAAUUAGAAAACAAUGCAACAUUAACUCUAGCGGAGAUUUCUGUAAGGAUAGGAAUCAUAAUUAGUCUUUCGGUAAUAAACUUGAUUAUCAUUUUGAAAACCAGUAAUUGUUUUUGAUAGCCUCUAACAUAUUAAAGAGAAAGAAUCAAUUGUGUUUAGAGUUCCAUUGCUUCGAGAGCCCCUUUCUUUUGAAAAAUAAUAUUGUUUAUAUAAGGUUCUUUCUGAAAUCCCAAAUCAGUAUUUAUUUGGGAAAAGAUAUAUAUUCCUAUUUAGAACUCUAUGCUAAAUAUCACUAUUAAUCCCUACAAUUGUUGGAGACUUGCAUGGAAAUUACUAGUAAAUCUCUAGUAAAUAUUUCUAUUCUAUCUGUUUACAAAUCUUUAUCCUCUAAUUUUGAAGAAUAUUGCCAAGGCUACUCGACUUGCACGUCUUUGGAUUAUAAGAUCUUGUACAUUUUGUAAUUACUGGUUAUAAGAACGGUGGAAAAGUGAACAGUAUCAGACGACAGUCAAAGAUGAAUGUAGACCCAUCGACAGGGAUAAUCAAUUCAAUCCUGGAAGAGGCAUCGACUAUUUUGAAGAGCUCAACUGAUAAGAAGAAGCUUCAAAAAAUAGUUAAUGCAAUCAACUAUUAAUUACUUAUGAAUAUUCAUAUCAAACGCCUAUAGUUAUAACUUGGUUAUUAAGUAAUCUACGGGUUGUGGCUUAAUUGGCAACGAUGGCUGGACAUGUGGAAAGAGCUUUCGAGUUUAAUUCCUACUAAACACAUUUGCAGGGAGAAGCGAAGAGCCUUAACUGUGACUAAGCUUCGAGGCGGAUUAAUCUGUCCUUAAUAAUAGAGUCCGGAUACCGAUAGUUUAUACAAUGUAGUUAUUAAGUAUAAAUUAGCAAUUAACUACCUAAAUCAGGUGAAUUAAACACAUACUUAAUUGUUAAAUGGAUUCAAGAUCAAAAUCAGGCCUUCCAAGAUGCAUUUAUUUAUUUCAAUAAAAUAUAGCCUGAUUUAAAAUGGAGAUGAAAAAGUCAUUAUUCAUAUGAAUUGAAAACUUAUAAUUUUUCAUAAAUUCAAAUAUUAAUCUUAAAUACAUUUAUAAAUAACGAAAUAACAUAUAAUCAUAUUGUGUUAAAUCGGAUGGAGCACUCAAAAAUACCCUAUAUAUCCAUUACUAUUCCUAGAUGAAAGAUGACUUGAUCUCCUUUCUCUAAAUCAUGUCCAACCGAUGAGGUCAUAAAAGUAAUUGAUAGAUUGAGAUCCUUAAAUUUAAGAUUCCUCGUACCCUAAAGCCAACCUUUCUAUUGCACAUUUGCACUCAAUUAUUUAUUUAUCCUAAAUAUAUUAUUCAAUUGAAAUCAAUUUUAAGGGAAAAAAAAAGCUUUAGAUGAUAGUAAUUGAAAUCAAGUAAAUAUUCGACAUUAAUCCAAAAACUAAAACCAAUGAGUUAGGUUAGGUAAUGUCACAGUCCCGUAUCACGCACCAAAAACCGGACCGUGUGGCGCUUGUUUGGCACACCCUCAAACAAAUCAGCCGAGGAUAUCAAUUAGUUAUCCUUAAAGGGACUCCAUUCUGGGGAGCAGCAAGUCCAACCCCAGGAGCCAUUCUCAUGGCCUUAAUCAUAUCAUCAAUUAUCUUAUGUAUCCUUUCUCAUCCGAUUUUAUCGGAUGUCCCCAAAUAAGGGAAUUUAUAGUUUCUUGAUUUUAUAUAAAAAAUAAAAUGAAAUAAAUUAAAAAAUUAAGAAUAAUCUAUCUUAUCAAAAAAUUUAAUGUAAUAAUGGUUAUUUUCUUAAUUGAGAGGCUUAAACUGUAUCAAAGUGUAGUUUUAAUUCUAGAUUAAUAGAUAUUAUUCUUUAUGCUUUCUGGUUAAUUUAUAUGGUUGUAGCCUAUUAAUAAUCAAAGGGCUUGAGCCCAUUUUCCUGCCCCAAGAUAUCCCGGUACUCCAUUUGGCCCUAUUUGGUGCUAGCCCAUGUGAAAAAGAAAAGCCAUUUUAUUUAUUCAAACAAGCUAUCUCUUACCAUAUAAUGGGGAAAAAAAAGAUAGAGUAAAUAUAAUUUGAAAAAAAAUUCUUAUUUUUAUUCAUUUAGUCCAUAAUGUGGGUUUUCGCCAAGUAUUUUCUAAAUGUAAAAAUUAUUGUAAUAUCCAUGUAUUUUUUAAAAUACAAUUAGUCAAUCACUGUAUUUUUUACACAAUGCUUUUUGAAGUCGCAAAGUUUCAUUUGGUCAUAUUCGUUAGUCCUUCUAUCCGAUUUUAACCAAUUUGGCCGUUAAGUCAAUGAAAAGACAAAAAUAUUAUUAUCCUUGUCUCGUAUUUUUACCAUUAAACUUCAUCACAACAAUUUUAAUAAAAAAAAUCAGCAAAAUAAUCAAAAUCAAAAUAUAAAUCAACGAAGUAUUCAUAAUCAUAAUAAAAAAUCAAGGAAAAAAAAAUAUGCAAUCAAAGAUUAAAAAAUCAAAAUCAAAAAUAGAAAAUAAAGAUAUGAAAUAAUAACAACAAACUCUAUCCACUUCUUCAAGCGCUCUCUCUUUCUCGUUUGAAUAUUAAGCCUCAUCUCUGCAUCUUUUAGAAAUUCAAACAUGCAUCUAUUAUAAGCCAUACAACAAACAUAGUUCUGCCAUGAAAUAACCUUCAAAGUAGACCGUAAAAGAAAUAGGGGUAUAUACAUAAACAGAAGAAAUAGAGAGAAAUAUAUAAGAACAAAAGUAUAUUACCUCAAAUAGAUCUGGAGAUACGAGGUUGAUGAUGGAAAAAAGCAUAUUAAUUAAUAGUGAGAUUAAUUGGGUAUUUUGAGAUAUUUACAGUGUUAGCCAGUAAAAGAAGAGAAAUGACAGAAAACACAGGGGAUUUUGGGAUUAGUUUUAAAUUUUCUCACUUUUGACCCUUAUUUACAAACGGAAAAAUUGGAGAAAAUUGAAUGUAAGGACUAAAAGUUAUGACAAAUUGAAAAUAUAGGAAUUUCAAAAAGUAUUUUUAAAAAAGGUAAGGACCAACUAAUUAUAUUUUGAUAAAUACAGAGACUUAAUAGUAAUUUUUCCUUUCUAAAUUUUACAUAUGCGAUCAACAACUGGUGACAGCUAAUCAUACAAAAAAUAAAAAAUAAAAAUAAAAUAAAAAAUAGCAUCUCUUUAGAAUGUCCUGCCGUUGUACUGGCAAGGACUUCCAUAAGAUGAUGAUGAUGUACUGAUGCUUACUGUUGGUGAUGGGCCUGAUGGUGACUCACAGAUCGUUCAUGUCUUUAAUUACAUGGAUAGCAUGCAAGUUGAUACAACUUAAAGUUACAAGACGAGUGAUGAGCGUCUGUCUUGCAAGUAGGCCAUGCCUGAAUUGCGUUGCAGCAAGAGAAAAAUAAAAGGGUCCGAAGAAAGCUUUCUUAAAUCUUCUUGUUUUUUGGCAAAUGGAAAUGGCAGGCAAAAUCAUGUGAAUCCCUCGUGAAUUAUUUCCCUAAGGACCCCAUGUUGCACUUGUUGCAAUAAAGCUUUUUGCCUAUAUAUAUGCCUUCACCAAAGAUAAACAGCCAGCCAGGUUUUCCUCUACUUCUUGAUCUUUACUUUCAACUAUCAGAAGAGAAUUCAAUUCAGUCCAACACUUUAUAAAAAGAUUCAAAAUGGGUAUUCGCUUGCCAAGAAUUGUUAAUACGAAGCAAAUUCCAAGACGGGUUCUUUUGUCACAGGAAAGUGGAGAUGUCCCUAAAGGCUAUUUUGCUGUUUAUGUUGGAGAAAAUCACAAGAGAUAUGCAGUUCCAAUAUCAUACUUAAAAUAUCCUUCAUUUCAAAAAUUGCUAAGUCAAGCAGAGGAAGAGUUUGGGUUUCAUCAUCCUAUGGGUGGCCUCACGAUUCCAUGUAGUGAAGAAGUAUUCAAUCAUCUCAUUUUCAGCUUGUAAAACUUUAACGAUACAGUUAUUAGGAGUAUGUUAACUGUUUAACAAACUAAUACAUGUACCAAUUUUGGAUUAACAAAAGGAAAAUAUACAUAAAUUUGUUUAUUGCAUUCUUUUUAUUUGUAUCUGGAAAUUCUACUUUUUUUCCUGGUGCCCAUAAAAUGAAUUAAUUUGCAUUCCUCCAUCACUGCAAUCCUAGCUUUAUAAAAGUCUG